This 45587-nucleotide long non-coding RNA is filed under the name Setaria viridis. RNAcentral's name for it is "long non-coding RNA (SVIR_LNC008609)". Lineage: Eukaryota; Viridiplantae; Streptophyta; Magnoliopsida; Poales; Poaceae. The record is from RNAcentral.
UUUUUUUUUUCUAUUUUUCUCCCUAAAGUAUUAGAGUUGCUCUAACACUUUGUCGCGGAAAAAAAAAAACUCACCGCGACCCGUAGCCUGCGGGUGCGAGGCGGCCCAGUGCCACGUCCCCCACCUCCCGCUCCUCCAUCUCCACGUCCAAUCAGUCAACCGCAACGAAGAACCAAACAAAUUCGCACGCAAAACAGAGCAAACUUGUCGCCCGUGGAUUGCCCAACCAGGCAAGGUCAAUGCAGUUCAGCAGCUGCGAAACCAGUCAGUGAGCCGCGAGCUCCCUCCCGAUCUGGCAGUGGCAGCCAUGGCCGCGGAGAGCUGCCAGUGCCACCCCCGCGGCCUCUCCUGGUUCGCCAGGUCCUGCAUCCCCGCCGACCCCGCCCGCCACAUUGCCGUCCCCGUCCCAAUCUCCGCCGCAUCCGCCACCAACACCAACACAGCCUCCGACACCGAGGAGUCCCCCAUCUCCGCGCUCCCCGACGAGCUCCUCCUCGAGUGCCUGGCCCGCGUGCCCCGCGCCUCGCUCCCGCCGCUCCCCGCCGUCUGCUGACGCUUCGCCACCCUCCUCGCCUCCGAGGGCUUCCUCCACCUCCGCCGCGCCCACGGCCGCCUCCGCCUCCGCCUCCUCGCCGUCUCCGUCUCCUCCGCCCACGGCGCGGCCACAUUCGCCCGCGCGCUGCUCCAGCUCGGCGCAUCCUCCCGCCCCGACGUCGAGGUCGCCGCGCUGCCCCUGCCUCCGCCGCUCCUGCAUUGCGCGGGCUCCUCCUCCUCGGCCUUCGCGCACGCGCGCGCCGUCGCGCUGGGCCGCGACGUGUACCUCAUCGGCCGCGGCGCGCGCGUGCGCGCCUACGCUGUUCCCGCGGAAGAAGUUCGCGGCGGCGGCCGUGGGCGCGCGGAUCUACGUCGCGGGCGGGUCGGCGCGGAACACGGCGGUCGAGGAGUACGACCCGGACGCCGACGCGUGGCGCGUCGUGGCGGAAGCGCCGCGGCGGAGGUACGGGUGCGCCGGCGCGGGGGCCGGCGGCGUGUUCUACGUCGCCGGCGGGGUGGCGGUGUCCGGGCGCGCCGCGGGCGCUCGAGGCGCACGCGUGCGCCGGGUCGGUGGACGCGCUGCACGUGGCGUCAGGCGCGUGGGCGUGGUCGGCGCGGCCGCGGGCGGUGCCCGGCGGCGGCUGCGUCGUGGGCGCCUGCGGCGCCGGGGACGGCCACCUCUACGUGGUGGCGAGCCACGUGGUGGACCUAUCCUUCUCGGUGGAGCGGCGGUGGUGUCAACAGGGGUGGUGACGUCGGUAGAAGUGCCUGCGCCACCGCCCGUGCCCCGGGGCUCGGUGGGUCUGGGCACGGCGGUGCGCGUGGCGAUGGCCGGUGUCGGCGGGGACAGGGUGGCGGCGGUGGUGAACGUGGCCGCCGUGAGGGGCCGCAAACGGAGGCCGUGCCCCUCGCCGCGCAGGCGCGGUGACACAGAAGCAUGCACGUCAAGAGCAUCCCAUGGCCGUCCGGAAGCUUGGAAAUUUCCCUUUGCCGCCAUUGUGACGGAGUCCGACUCCAAGGCAGGGGAGCGACUCGGAAUGUCGGAUUCCAAUCUGCAGCCGGACAGGCAAUCCGAUUCGAUUGCUCCAAACCGAGUCGACUAGGCAAUCCGAUUCGAUUGCUCCAAACCGAGUCGACUACAGACCGACGAUCCGAACCGAGAACAACCCCAGCUGCGCGUCCUCUGGCCUAUAAAUCCAUGGCAACCCUCCCCUCCGGUACUCCAUUCAUCCAUCCACCCAUCACCUUCUCCCUUCUGCCACCGCCGCCGCUCUGAUCCCACUUUCCCAGGGUCAUGGAGAUGGCGGCGCUGGGCCCGGCGAUCUUCUCCCGCGGCUUCCGCUUCAACCCGACGCCCCUCGAGGCCGCCACCUACUACCUCCCUCGCCUCGUCGCCGGCGCGCCGCUGCACGAGGCCGUGCGCCCCGUCGUCAACCAUGCCGACGUCUACGGCUGCGAGCCCGCCGACCUCGCCCGCCAGUUCUGCCCGCUGCCCAGGACCGGGCACCGAUUCUUCUUCACCCACUGCAAGCUGCAGCAGCCGCAGAGGGCGGGGAAGGCCAGCAGGGCCACGCGCGCCGCCGGCUCCGGAUCGUGGCACUCGCAGAGCGUCAAGGACGUCGUGGACCACGCCGGUGUCAAGGUCGGCGAGAUCAGGAAGCUCCGGUACAAGAAGGGCGGCGAGUACACGGACUGGCUCAUGGACGAGUACUCGUGCUGCUUGGAGGACGCCGUCGUCGGCGACAGGCAGUUCGUGCUCUGCAACAUCUACGUGUCCCCCAGGGCCGAUCAAGGCUCCGCGGCGCGCCAAGAAUCCGCCGCCUUCUUCGCUCCACCUGCGCCUGCGCCCGUCGUGAUCGCGCAGGCUGCGGCGCCCAAGAGGCCGACGCCGCAGAGUGCCGAGCCGCCGUGCCCCAAGCGGAUGCGGGGUGCCGUCGCCCCGACGCCUCCGGUCGUGCAGCCGGCGGGUUAUUGCACGGCGUCCUUCGCGCCACCACUGCCGUACGUGCCUCACAUCGCCACUUCAGCUCAGCCUCCGCCGCCGCCAGUUCCGACCCGUCUCGCAGCGCCGCCGCUAAGUCGCUCGCUAGCGCCCACACCACUGCACCCGCGUUCGCCACCUCAGCAACAGAUGCCGCCGCCGCCGACUCUCCCGGUGGUACGUGCCUGCCACAUGCCAGUGCAAGCACCGGCACGUCACUGCCAGCCGCCUCAGCCGUCCGUGCAGAAGAAGCAGAGCACACGCGAUCCGUUUGAAGCCGCUGAGCUGGGAGACGAAGCAGAGGAGGAAAGGGUGGCAGCGCCUGAUCCCAAGGAGUCCCCUGCAGCGCUUGUUGAUCAAGAUGACGACUGGGCCGAGUUGGAAAAGUGCAUGGACGACGCCGUGCCAACAGCCGAGGGCUCGACGGUGAGUGAGGACGAGAUGGACCAGACGAAGCAGAGCACGGACGAUCCGUUUGAAGCUGCCGAACUGAGAGACGAAGCAGAGAAGGAAAGUGUCGCAGCGCCUGGUCCGGCACAAGAUUUCGACAUGGACGAGUUUUGCAGGUCACUAGAAGGAAAUGGCGACUUGGUAAGGCUCUUUGAGGAUGAAGACAACGUGCUGACAGCCGAAGCAGAGGAGGAAGCAGCUGCCAACUCUGAGGGCUCAACGAUGGCUGAAGACGCGCCUGAUCCAUCGUCCAUGGAGCAGUCGCCUGCGGCGGCACAAGAUUUCGACAUCGACGAGUUUUGCAAGUCAGUACAAGACGACAUAUGGGCAUGCGAGCUGGACCACUUUGCAUGCUCUUUCGAGAACGAAAGCUUCUCCUGGGAGUAUGGCAUGGGUUAGGAAGAGAUCCAGGUUGCAACUGGAUUGGGAAGGCUUGAUGACUGACGACAGCAAGAGCAGUAGCAGCUGCACAAGAGCUCCAUCCAGAAGAAGGAUUGCGGAAUUUGUAAACUUUUCUGCGGAUGAAAAUAAUGUUAUCCUUCCUAAAUGUAACAACUCUGCGUGUUGAAUUCAGUUUGGGCAGUCUUGUGGUAGCAUACAUAGUAUGUUUUUGAAAGCUCUGGUUCCAAAUUUGUUUCUGCGGAUCAGGGUCUUAGCAAAUUCUGUAACCUGCGUGCAAUAGCUAUUGGCAUUUGGCAACACAUUCUAAAAUCCUCUUACCCUACGUUCCUUAUCAAACUGAAAAUACGAACGCUAUCUCUUGGCUGCAAAUCGAAUCUAUCCAUCUCUCCCGUCCCCUUCCUGCGUUCCGGCCGGCGGCGGCGUGAGCGUCGAGGCGGUGGUGGCCGUUGGACAAUUCCAUGUCAAUUGGUUCGGUAAAUGAUGGCACAUUUCUCUUUCUCAAUUUGUUAGCUUGAUCUGAGUCAACUUUAGGUCGCUUUUGGUUACAUUUACUUAUUUGCACCGUUACAUCGAAUGUUUAGGUACUAAUUAGAAGUACUAAACGUAGACUAUUUACAAAAUCCAUUACAUAAGUGGAGGCUAAACGACGAGAUGAAUCUAUUAAGCCUAAUUUAUUUUUUGAUAAAACAGGAGGGGAAAGCUGGUUAUAUAUUAUAUGUAAGAAAAGAAGAGCAAAGAAAUUAUCCAGUUUAUCUCAAGAAACAAAGAAAGAGAGAAAAAUCAUAAAGAUUACAAUAUAUGCUCUAACCAUUCUAACAUUGAUUGCUUCCAUUCCUCUUUUACGCGAAGGACAACCUGCGUAAAGACAGUCUUGAACCUCAACAUGGCACUAUAGACUGAUGGAGUGAUUCCUUUGAAUAUCCAGUCAUUCCUUUCCAUCCAAAUACACCAACUCAUGAGAAUAAUGACUUCCAUGAAGAAUUUAACUUGAAGCUGAAUUCUGAAGCUAUUGAGGAUAUUAUAGGGCUCUUCUGUCAAGUUUACAAACAGGCUAAUAUUGAUCCAACAUUCCUGAGCAAAAGGACACUCAAGGAGAAGAUGGAACAAGGUUUCUUCUCUAUUAUGCGUGCAUAGGUGUGACGACUGCCCAAAUCUUCGAGUUAAUCUUAAUCUGAGUCCCUGAUCCCCUGUCUCAGCUUUACCGAGUUUAAGUACUCAACUUCCGACCCCUGAGAUCCGACCCCUCUCCACCGCUCCCCAGUUCCGACCCUGCCGACCCCAAACCCAUACCGCCGGAUCCUUUUAAGUCUUCCCACCGUAUCUCUCUCGAUCUGAGCAGUGGACCAACCGAGACUGACCGGUGGACCCACAAAAUCUUUUCCCCAGAUCUUCCACGACAGACGCACUCGAGUAGCAUGCCCGCUGCAGAGUUCCCCCACCGCGUGGCCCAACCCUUCCGACCCCCGUCGCUCCGCCCCGUCGCCGGCCGCGACCGGAUGGAUAUCCGCGCCCCCUUCCCCAAUCGCAGCGGAAGCCCUCUGCAACCCUUUCUGCAGCACCUCGCCGCUCGCGCCCAUCAUCACCUCGCCGGACCCCCAACUGCGGAGCCCAAUUGUAAUAAAUGCCAUUUGGAAUAAUAUGGUAAUCAUGAAAAAGUCAGAAGGAAAUUCAAAAGAAAAAGAAGGAAAAAUGGCAAAAAGAUCAAAUUCGGCAAAAAUUUGAUCGAAAUUUGAAUUUCAAAUUUGAAAUUCAGAAAAAUUUGACCAGUAUGUGGAAUGCAAGUAUGAGAGUAUUCGGAAUUGAGAAAUCAAAAACUUAGAGUUAAAUUGAUGCCAAUUAUUACAAAAGCAUCAGAGAAAGAAGAAGAAAAGAGAAAUUCCGUUUACUGUUCCUCGUCCGACAAUAGGUUCAGAGAAAACAGCUCCAGAGUCUGUUUUCAAAAUUCAAUUCUGAAGAAUUUUCCAACCAAGUGUACCAGAACAACUAUACCAUGUUGAAAUAUAAACUUUGGGCUGCAAUAAUCAUGUGUUGUUGGCCAAGAAUAGUAAAAGGAAGGAAGUCAACCUCGAGCUCAAAGUCAGCACAAAAUCACAAAUGACUGAAACUCUGAAAUUUUUGCUAAGUCUGAAUGACAGUGUGACCUCAACUUUGGGAUUGAAUUCAGAGCCAUUUAAAUCAAAAGAGGUACUUGUUCUUGUGCAAAAUGGAAACUUGGGAGAUCAUAGAACACAUUUGAGAAGAAGUUGGACUGGAAAAACAAGACUUAAGUCCUUAAAUUGGUUCCCAAAUUAAAGUCCAUGUCACUGUCGAACUGACGAACAGCAAUUGCAAUUCAGUCGACAUUCAGAGCUAACCCGAGCUAAACUUCAAAAAUUCAGUGAAUUCGAUCUUUAUCUCAAGUUGACGCCAAAAUAAAAGAUGAAGGCCUUGAGUUUAUCCCCAAGUUCUGUUUAAGCACGAGCAGCCGUCGGAUCAAGGAUCAGCCGCUAGCCGCUUCUGAAGAUCGCGGGCGCCAGAAGACGGUGACUGAGCACCAGGACGUGUCGCCACCGCCGUCGUCGGUCGUCCGCCAGCGCAGCUAAGCUAGGCCACCUCCUCGCCACAUACGCCUACGGGUAGGCCACGGUGUCACCCAUGCGCGCGGUGAAACACUUGAAUAUCUACCGCUCCCGCGCCGCCGUUUCACCGCCGCUCUUUUUACCGCCGCCCGUGCCUCUUCUGCCAGACACCGCCGCCAAGCAAAAUUCCACCUCCACACCGCCGCUCCCGUCGAUUCCUUCCAUCCACACCUCCGCCUACACCCCACCAGUAGCCCUACCACCUUGUUGCCCAGCUCCUUCGCCGUGACACCUUGUAUCGUCGCCGCUUCUGUCCGCCGCCGUCGCACCGCCCGCUCUCGGUGAGAACCCCUCGCGCUGUCUCUCUUCCUUCUUGAGCAGUCGUAGUCGAGUCCUUAGGGUCCUAGGAUGGUGUCGGGGUAGUCGUUUGAGUAGGAUGUGCCGUAGUCGCGAGUAGCCACGGCCGGCCGAGGGAGUCGCCGCCCGUCGCCGUGGAGGAGGUAGCUCCGGUCGUCUCCAGGGGAGCUGUCGCCGCGCGCGAGGUCGUGUAGGGUUAGGGUUUGUGUCGUCGUCGAGACCCGCCGCCGGGAGGGCGCCGGCCGGCGAGCCGCGCCGCCCCCUGUUCCGGUCGCGCUUUUGGCGGGAGGAGGAAGAAGGAGCUGUGCACCCGGGCCCGCGCGUCAGUGAGAGAGAAGGGGAGGGAAGACGCAGGCCGAAGCGGUGCGGCCGUCUUGGGCCGGCGUGUUGAGGCCCAGUGGCGCGCGCGGGUGACCCGAAGAGAAGAGGCCGGAGGCCCAGAGCAGCGUCACAGGCCGGCGUCGCGCGGAGAAGAAAGAAAAAGAAAAAGGGGCCGUGGGCCGGUGCUGGGCUACCAGGAGAGAAAGAAGGGGGGAAAUCGGCCCACGGAGCCCAUCGGGAAGAAGGAUAGGGCCGGCCGGUAGAGUGUAUAGGAGAGGUGGGGUCCGCGCCGUGGGGUCCAGGUGUUCGUGAGAAGGGGUAGAGAGGGGGUGAGUAAGAAAAGUUUUCCGGGGGAAUUUUCGGGAAAAGUUAGAUUUCUUUAGCAAAAUAAUUCGUUUAAAAUUCGUUUUACACCAUUUUAAUCACAGAAAUUUGUAGGAGUGUCCAAAAUUAGUGAACCCAAUUUUGUUAGGCUUGUUUUAUUUUCCUUUAUGCAUUAAAAUUUUUACACCCUAGGAAAAUAAUAAAAAUUUGGGUAUUUAUUUAAUGCCUUCCUUUUAAAGGUAAUUAAAUAAAUGCUUAAUAUUUAUAAAAUGUAUAAAAAUAUGAAUAAUACUUUAUUAAUCACAAAUAACCCUUAACUCAUAGGAAACUAGAUUUUUUUGAGUUAGAAAUUAUUUACCACAUUUAUCAAAAAAAUUAAAAGCUAUAGGAAGGGUUAAGUAAGAAAAAUAAAAAUAUAGGUUAAUCUUUUUAGAUUUCUUUUGUGUGUUGACUUACAACUUAUUCGUGAUAAGUCGUAUAGUCCUUGUUGGCUUGCAACUUUAUCAUGAAGGAAAGUUGUAUAGUCUGUUAUUUAAAAAGUUUGCAUUCUAACCCCUGCAUAUAUGUACCGUAGAUCCAGAAGCACCAGAAGAGGAUUGCUGGGAAUUUUCAGAAGGACCCUUGGAAUUCGACGAAGUGUUUGAAUUUGUCCCUUGUGAAGCAAAUCCGUCGGCUUCUACUAAUCUUUUUAACGAUCAAGGCAAGCCCCGGUGCAUUUAUACCUAUCUAUUUUGGAGUCGUUAUUUCAUGUGACUAGUUAUAGGUUAUUGGUUUAUUGCAUGCACUAAGUCUAGGAGUUGGAUGAAACCUAUUCUUGUGUGUGAUCAUGCCUUGAUUUAAGGACAUCUUUGCCACUUGUUCAAAUCUUAGAAACUACCCAAGUCUAGAAUUGCUUACUUGCUUACAUACUUGGUUUACCAACCUUAGGGAAAACUCUUAAGUCAUACAUGCUGCUUAUGAAAGAUAGUUUGGAGUAGAGGAUCAGACAGAAGCUAGAGAUGUAGUUCUGUCUACUAGAUUAAUUUGAUUGAGGACCGAUCCGUGUCUUAACUGCUGAUCAAGUGAUAACAUCUGAUCACUUACUGGGUAUGGGACCAGUAAAGCCCAGUAGAUUAGUAAAUUCUAUGAUCAGGAAUGCUCCGUACCCGCAUUUGACGUGCUGGAGAUUGGCAGGGGUGUAGCCUGAAACUCACAUGGGGAUCAGGCCAGACGUGGGGUCCCAUGUGGGGGUGCAUCCCUGGGUCCGGGUAGUUGUAUUCCUAAUCAUUGACUUUACUAAUCGAGAGGUUGUUAGUACGACCUGGACAAUCGUAUGAUGCUGGUGAUCGGGGUGCUCUCCUGCAGGAUGUAAAUUGAUCCGGAUCGCCGCAAUUCUCGGUUAUGAAUGCACUUGAUCACUGUUGAGCAUCGUAGUGUAACUCAUGUGAUAUAAAAUCUCCUGUUGCCAAGUAUUGUAUGAAUUAACAGUUAUGAUUGUUUUUACUUCUGUUAUCACCUAGAAUGGUUAGGUAACAACUUAACUAAACUAAAAGACAAAACUAAGGCCUUACUCGUAGUAAGCUUUUUCGGCAAAAACCGUGUCAACCAAGCACACCCAAAGGCUGACAUGCAUUCCAAUGAAAAACUAUUAUAUUGGUUAGUCGGGUAAGACUUGCUGAGUACCCCGUACUCAGGGUUUCCCCCUUGUGGUUAUCUUUCAGAAGCUACACAGGAAGCUACCGAGGAGGAGACCCCGAAGACCUAGAGUAUUGACCUGAGUCUCUCAAUACUCUAGAAAACCAUUCAUCGACGCAUCUUCUCCUAAACUGUUUAUGUUUAAUCUUAGAGCUUGUCUAACUCUGCAUCACUAAGUUUGUCUCAACUUAAAUAUUGUAAUAACUCGUACCUCUUAAUUAUGUAUGUAAAAAUGUAAUAUUUGUUGAUAUUAUCCCAUCGCGGAUAUUAUCCUGAUGUAUGGUGAUGAAACACGCCGUGGAUCUUUCGAGGAGUCCUAGGGACACUCGACGGACUACCGGACUUAUGCUGUUUUAGGUGCGUUUCGGAUAAUUGCUGCUCCGACAGCGAUUAGGCGCACUUAAACCCGCUUAAGUUGGGCGGUUCCGCCACACCAAUGCCUCCCGUCUUUUCCGCCGCCCCUCCACAGUCGCGCCGCCCGGACUGCGCUACGCGACGAUUCCUCCGUCGCUAAUCCACACCCCGGCCGCGACAGUCCCUUUCCCGCCCUGUCAGAGCAGCGCCCCGACAAUCUGUUGCUUCGCGCUCGCCCGCGCGACCGCAGCCCGCCUGUCUUCUCACCUGUGCGCCCUCGUUUCUAGCGCCAUUUCCCCGGUCACUUCCAUCAGAUCCACCGCACGACGACGCCCGCCUCCGCCAAAUCUCAACCACCGGCAAAACCGCGCCUGCGCCGCCCUGUCAUCGGUGCCCAAUGACCGCCGGUGCCAUCCCCGAAGUUCUGCUCCACCGCCCUCGUUGCUCAAUCACCACCCCGGCAGCGCACUCCAUCGUUCUUCCCGAUCUUCGCGCCGCCCCAACCCUCUCUCUCGUCCGCACGACUAUAAAAAGGAAUGCCGGAGCCCCGCCGGAGUUCCCGUUCGCCAUCGCUGCCCUCCCGCUUUGCUCCCAGUUCGUGCUCACCGCGCCACCGCCUAAGUUCCUGAGGAACUCUCCUCUCCGCUCCACACCAUUUUCCCCAAUCCGCCCAGCCUCUUGCUCCUCCGCACUGCGCGAGAGCUUGCUUGUUGUCCACAAGAAGCGCCGCCGCCGUCGGAGCACCGCCGGGCAUCGCCUGCCCAAGUCUGCUCUUUUCCGACCUCAAGCUUCACCUGUGAGACGAAGGUAAGCUGCCGACCCUUUUUCCGCCUCGUCCGACCCCUUCUAUCCGACCGACCCUUGUUCCGUCUCGCCCGACCCUGUCUGUUUCGCCGACCCUUUCUCCGCCUCACCCGAGGGCUCGUCUGUAUCUUUUUCCUUGAACCGAGGGUAUAUGCGUAAAACUUGGGGACUUCUCUGCGUUAAGUCUGAGGACCCCAGCACAUCUAUUCCUCUAGUUUAAGGGUCUGAUCAUAAGUUCCUUCCCAUCCAACCCUCAUAUCUUGAUCUCCACCAACUCAAGCGAACCUCCCCACCUUUCCGUAACUUGCCGCAAGUUUCUGGGCUCAAACUUGCAAGUGUUGCUGUUGAAAUAACCGUCUAAAUGCUAACCCAUGCAUUGCAUUCGUGUAGAGCUGCGUCUCGCCGACGGCUUCUACGAGUUGUACCCGGCGCCCGAAGAAGGAGUUGCAGCAGAGCUCCCGCCUCUAGAAGCCGAAGCCGCCCCAGCAGAAGACCUCUUCCCUUCCUCCUCGCUUGAAGGCAAGCCCCGGAUGCAUGAACCCCCUAUAUUUUCCCAAACUUGCGCAUGCCUUCUUUAUCAUGCUUGUGCAUUUACGUAUAGGAGUUGUUUGGAACCGUAGAUGCAUGACUUAGCUCCCUGAUCUGAACACUAGCUGUUGGACCAAGUAGUUGCUGUGCUUAAAUAGGAAGCGGUAAAAGUCGAGUGAUUUCCUGUCACUCGCGAGUUGUAGGAGUUGGUUGUUUCUCCUUCUGUUACAACUAUAAGGACGAUGGACGGGGCCGGGUUCUGGUUAACUUUUUGGUGGUCGGCUGAUCGUCCUGUCUGUCUAUGAAACUUGCUAAGGCCCGACAGUGGUGGUGUUCGUGAUCAAGUGUUGAAAGUACUAACCUCAUACUUAUUAUGGGAUGAGGAAGCCGAGUACCGGAUUGACCCUAGACGUGAGCGGUCGCCCCAUUGUCCUUGGAACGAAGUUUCCCCUGCGGGCGCACGUGGUGGCAAGUGUGGUCACAGAACGGCAGAGGCCGGGUCUGUGGAACAUUGCACCAAAGGGAAUGGGCCCGACACGGGUUAGGGGAUUGAUGGGGAAGGCCGACACAGGAAGCGACCCUCGGUGGUGCGCGGAUGUCGUGAGGUUAGGUUCACCAUGCAUGGUUAAAGAACUCGAAUCGAUUCGUCUGCCUCUCACAGUUUGAGACUACUUGAUCGCUAUGUCACCCUGAGUAAUAAAGGAAUCUGAUGAUGACAUGGUCUUGAUGAUGUUAUAUAUGUAUACCUUUUGGUUGGUUCUAUGUUUGCUUAGAGUAUGUUGCUAACUUAGACCGGAUAAUGAACUUAGAACCGGAGCUAAAACUUUGAAAAUAAGGAUCUACUUAGUGCCUUUGGCAAACAAACCCCUCAGCCAAAGAGCCUUGCAUGUCUAGAGUGGUGGAGUAGCUCUACUCCCUGUCGGUUAAGUCUUGUUGAGCUUAGUAGCUCAGCCUUGUUGUGGCUCUUCUUUUUUAGGUGAAGUUGCUGCUCUUGAGUCCUCCUCUGUUGGCACUUGGCCGCCCCAACUCCCUCCGGGUUGGACGGUUGAGUGGGAUCCCUCCUCGGACGGCGAGGAGAGGGAUCACUGAUGUCCUGGUUGGCCUCACCAGGGAUGUCCGACCCCGACGAAGUAGCUUCCGCUUGUUGCCUUACCUUCUGUUGUUUUCUUUGAACCUUGUAAAACUCUGAUGUUUAUUUUAGUGUUGAACUAAAUGGUCAAUUGUUUAACUCAGUGGACUUGUUGUAUUCUCUGGAACUGCUCACCUUCGUGUGAGUUUGCUAACUCGGUCCUGUUCAAGUGGUUAAAUCGGAUGAAAUCCGACGGCACUUCGUGUUAACUUGGUUAAGGCAUGAGUGUCGCAUAUUAGGCGACUUAAUCAUGUUUAAUCAAGCUAAUCCGAAGUGGAUCCACCACAGCUGGACACAGGAGUAAGAGGGCAAAUCCAUAUGUUUCCUUCGAAGAACAUUCCUUGUACUUAAUCUGUCUUUGAGAAGCAACCAGAAAAAGAAUUUAUGUUUGCUUUGGCAUUUAGAUUUUCAAAGCCACCGGAAAAUUGGAUGAACAUGGUGAUGUCUUGUUAGUGCUCUAUAUGCUUUUGAUGAGGAAAAAUGUUGAUUGCCCCAAAUAUAUGUCCAGCAGUCUUGCUCAUCAUUUAUGGAGAUAAAAUCCAAAUCGGCAGCUAAUUGUAGCAAUUGAUCCAUGGCUAGGGCUGUUAGAGGCAAGUUGAAGAGCUGUUGUAAAUCUGUUAGCACAUAAGCCUGCCUGAGAGAUAUGUUUUCCUUUCUAGUAAAUGAGUAAAGUUGUGGAUAUGCUUGAGCAAGAACCUUAUUGUUCCACAGAUCAUGCCAAAGUAAACAUGUUCGUCCAUUGCCAACUGUUACUGACGCUAAACCCUUAAAUUUGUCCAUGAGCUUGACAAUGUCUCUUCACCAAAAAGAUCCUUUUCUUACUUGUCCUGGCAGUCUACCAGUAGCAUAAUGUUUCUCCCAAAUCAGAUGAACCCAUGGGAUAUCUGCUUGAUUAAAGAAUUUGUGUAGGUAUUUUAGUAGAAGAGAUUCAUUUUGGGUUCUCAGGUUUAAAACACCAAGGCCACCCUCUUUCUUUGGCAGGCAUACCAGCUCCCAGGCAGCUUUGGGUGGUUGUCUAUUAUUUAUAUCAGAUUUUCUCCAGAGACAACAUUUUCUAUACUUAUCCACUUGUUUGUACACUGUCUUAUGUAAUAAGAAAGUGCACAUAUGAAACAUUGGCAUAGCUGUGAAGAUUGAAUUUGUUAACUGAAGCCUUCCUGCAUCUGAUAAAAAAUUUGAUGUGGUUACCAAUCUUCUCUCACACCUGGAUACCAUUGGUAGAAACUCUUCAAUCCUGGGUUUAGUGAGACCCAGGGGUAGCCCUAGGUAAGUAAAAGGGAAACCACCUGUAGCACAUCCAAAGGUUUGUGAUAAGAACUGCAAUCUAUCUUCUGUGAUAUUAAUAGGCACCAUCAUUGAUUUAGAGAAGUUAACUUUCAGACCAGUGGAUACUGCAAAAUUUUGAAGAAGCUGUUUCAAGUGUAGAAGCUAGUUGGGGCAGCCCUCCAUAAUUAUUAGGGUGCCAUCUGCAUACUGUAAGAUAGGGAAAUCUUGACUGUAUGCCAAAGGGAUAGGGAGGUGCAGAUGACCUUGCUCUUUUGAGAGGUUAAGUAUAGAUUGCAGGAGGUCAGCUCCCAAAACGAAUAAAAGAGGAGAUAGAGGAUCCCCUUGACGAACUCCACUCUUACAAAUGAACCUUUUCCCAGGAACACCAUUCAAGAGCAUGGAGGAUGUGCCUGAUCCAAAUAUCUGCUCCAUCCACUGGAUCCAUUUAUCUCCGAAAUCUUUCUGUUGCAUGAUUGACAGCAUAGCUUUGUGUUCAAUUUUGUCAAAGGCCUUCUCAAAAUCAAGCUUAAGAAUGACUAUCUCUUUUCUCAAUUUGUGGUAUAAAUGUAGAUACUCAAACGUCCAGGCUAAGCAAUCUUGUAUGGUUCUUGACUUAAUGAAACCAUAUUGAUUUGCAUGAAUAAGUGACUGGAUUACCUUUUGUAGUCUGUUGGCCAAAAGCUUUGUUAUAAGCUUCAUGGAUGUGUUUAGGAGAGAAAUUGGCUUGUAAUCUGUGACCUUUGCUGCACCCUCAAUUUUAGCUAUUAGAGUGAUAUAUGAUCCAUUUAUGCUUCGCAAGCAGACAGUGCCAGAGUGAAAAUCUUCACACAGAGAAUAGAAAUCUUGUUUUAUUAUGUGCCAACAGCUCUUUAUGAAAUUGGUAUUAAACCCAUCUGGUCCAGGGGCCUUGUCAUUUGGGAGGUUAUUGAUUACAAAGUCAAUCUCUUCGUGUGAAAAAGGUUCCUCAAGGUGGCUUAAGUUGUCAGUUGGAUGUAGAAGCUGUUGCAGAUCAAAGAGCAUGGAGUUAUACUCGGAGGUGCCCAAUCUUUCUUUAAAAGCUUCCCAUAAAAUUGACUCCUUCACUUGAUGCUGGUAUUGAGGAGUUCCAGAUGUGUCCUCUAGGGAUCUAAUAUAACUUUUUCUAUGCUUAAUGGUUGCAUUUGCAUGAAAGAAUUUUGUUGACUCAUCACCAAACUUUACCCAUUUAAUGGAUCCUCUCUGUUUCCAAUAGAUAUUCUGCUGUUUGAGAAAGCAUUGCAACUGUUCCUGUAGAAUGACUUUAAAAUUCCAUUCCAUGAGGGUUAAGUCUCUGUAUUCUUCAAUUGAUUCCAUAAAAAAUAAAGACAACUUCACAUUUGAGAUAAGAGACUUGAGGUUCGAUAGUUGAGAAUUCCAUGUUCUUAGAACCCUUCUAAGAUUCUUGAAUUUUUUAGUGAUAGUUUUUGCCUUGUCAGAUUCUUGAACCGGGACUGACCAACCAUGUGAGACAAUAUCCAUGAACUGAUCAUGUUCCACCAAUAAUUUUCAAUCUAAAAAUCUUACCCUUUGGGAUAUCUGUCCUUACAUGAAUGACACAGGGUGAAUGAUCUGAUGUUUCCAUCACCAAAGAGUAGGCUGAUGUGUUUGGGUGACUGAGAGUCCAAGAAGCAGAAGUAAAGAACCAGUCUAGUCGUUCCAACAAGGGUAUUUGUUGCUUGUUGGACCAAGUGAAUUGCUUGGAUUUUAGAGGAAUUUCCACUAAACCCAGAGUGUUAAUGGCAUCAUUGAACAUGAACAUGUCACUGUAAUUACCACCUGGUUUAUUUCUAUUUGAAGGAUCACGUAUGAGAUUGAAGUCCCCCACUACCAACCAGUCGUAAUCAUCAGGCAUUUGGAUGUGCUUGAACCAUUGAAUGAAGGCUAUUUUCCCCUCCACAGUGCAAGGACCAUAAAUGUUUGUUAGAACCCAUUCCCAAUCAGUAAGAUUUGAAGAUAACUUAACUGAGAUAGCAAACUGAUUCAUGAAAAUUAAUUCCCCAUAUAACACAGACGAUUUCCAGAUUAUGGCAAUCCCACUAGAGGCCCUUGUGACGGUAGAAACUCAUACCUAUCAAAGGAUGAGGGACAGAACUUUUUAAUAAAUAACGAAUCUAUUAAGCCUAAUUAGUCCAUGAUUUGAUAAUGUGUUGCUACAGUAAACAUUUGCUAAUGAUGGAUUAAUUAGGCUUAAUAGAUUCAUCUCGCCGUUUAGCCUCCAUCUAUGUAAUGGGUUUUGUAAAUAGUCUACGUUUAAUACUCCUAAUUAGUAUCUAAAUAUUCGAUGUGACACGUGUUAAAAAUAAGCAAAAGAACCAAACGCCCCUUAGUUGUGCUCAUCCAUAUAAACACACACAUUAUUCUUCCUGUCUGCCUUUUAUACUUUGAAGAAAAAUAUGAUGGUGCCCAUUUUAGGGUUUGUUAAUGCUGUCUGUAAUACUUGCAGGACACCCGUGAGACAGCGUUUGCCCUCAGGAAGUUGUCACUCACCAAGGCCAAAAGGUACCUGGAGGAUGUGAUUGCCCACCGUCUUUGUAUUGUGCAAGGGGCGCACCACGAGAGACGGCAUAGUCCAUGAGCUCCUGGAAGGUGCCUGGCCGGACGACCCUCAUCUCGAGCGGCCCGAUGGAGCCGUCAGCGACCCGGCACUGCCAUGUACACGGCGUUCAGGGCCUCCUCCAUCUCAAGGCAGCACAUGCCGAGCGUCUCCUUGCAAUGUGGCUAUGGCUUCUACCCCCUUGCCGGACAGCAUCUGCAUCAUCUCCCAGUAGAUCACGUAGCGCACUGGGAUGCUCUCGGUGUACGCCUGGCUGGUGUAGUCCAGCACGGCCGCGCCGCCAUGCCGCCGGCGGAGCAGCGGCGCGGAUGCGCGCUGCACCUCGGCCUCGUCGGUCUUGUCGGAGCCGAUGCACAGCAGCACGUUCCCGCGGCGCACGAACCGGAACUCCGGCGCGGCGUUGUGGAACCCCGUCACGCGGAGGACGUCGCCGACGCGGUACCGGUUCAGCCCGGAGUAGCUGGUGAUCACGACCUCGUACUCGUGUCCAGCCUCCACGUGCACGAGCUCCACGAGCUGGUUCUCAUCGCCUCGCGCACCGCCUCGCGCCUUGAGAUGCCGGCCACCGCCUCGCGCACCGACGUGUCGGAGACGACGCAGGGGCUUAGCUCACCGGCCUCGAUAUCGGCGGCGAGCUGCUCCAUCUGGAGAACACGUUGGCCGCCCGACGUGCUGGAGCUGGCCGAAGAAAAUGUUGUCAUUUUUUGUUUCUUUUCGAUCAAAAAUCCUUACAUUUCUUUCCUUCUUUCCUUCUAAAUUACCCAAGAGGUUAACAUGAUUGAGGAGCACAGGUCUUUGCGCGAGCUGCUAGCUGAUCCUGCCAUUCUUGUCCACCACUCGUGGAGGUCACCAUCAUGUUGCGCCUAUUCCCUCCGGUGCACUGUUGGGAUCGCUAGCUAUUCCGAGAUGAAUGAGUGAAUUUGCAGUCAGCAAAGAGGUGUAUCGCCGUUUCAGGUCGACUUCUGCAGAGGGGGCACGUUGAUUGGUUCGGCCAACCUCUUGCUUGUAGUCUGUCAGUUGUCCAUGGCCUGUUUUGAAUGACCAACCGGAAAAAUAUCUUGCAACUUGCGGGCGCCCAAAUCCGUCAAAUAAGCGUGUCAAAGUUUGUUGCCGCGAGCAAAGGCACUGAGCCGUCGGCAAUGCGCCGGAUGUACGGAUCCAGGUCCUCGUAGGUCACCAUGGGCACCUUGGCUCGGAAAGUGGCGCGGUCGGUGGCGGCGGCGAGGCUGCAGUUGCUGGCGAGGUACUCGAUCGGCGUCGGCGUUGCGGGCGAGGAUCUCGGCCAGCACGCGCUCCUGCACGGCGUCCACAUCGGCGGUCAUCUCCUCGAUGAAAUGAAGCUUCUCGGAGUCGAUCGCCCUCGCCGCACUAGUUGCCGGCGACGGUGCUGGGCUGGUCGACGCGUCGUCGUCGGUCAUUUCCGCCAUUUGAGUAAAAGGUGGAGCUGCCUGCACUGAAUGUCCGGAGAAGGACAAGAAAUGGUCUGGGAAUUGGGAUGCUGGGGUAGGAGUAGGACUAGAUUUUUUUUUUAUAGCGAAAUGGUUAGGCAUGGGACUAGAUGCCGCACUGGGACUAGUUUUUUUUAUAUUGUUAACGUGCUGGACGCACGGUGUAUUAUUUGGAUUUCCCGUUGGCGAUCCUACGUGCUCCACUUCGCCAAACACCAUGAUGACCCAAUCAACAAAUAAAGAUGCAAAUGUUGAUUGCUGCAAUCAACAAAUAAACAGGUGCAUGAUGACCCAAUCACCAUGACAAACUACACAACUUGUACUUGUACAGGCACAAGGACACAAAUUAUUGAUACACUGAUCGAUUCACAUGAACGGAAGCGUAGCUGCACGCGCUUGGGCUUUGCCAACUUCCUUCUCCUUUGGAGAGAAGCUUAGCAUUUCUGGUGCCCAGUCCGGCAAUGCCGGGCUCAAGUGGCUGGAGACGACGCGCGAGUCGAGCAGCUCCAUGAUUCGCGGCGCCGUCACGCACCGGGGGACCUUGUACUGCCCGGCGGACGCGCCACGGGAGACGGCCAAGUCCGCGAGCUCCUGGAAGGUGCCCGACCGGACGACCCGGAUCUCCAGCGGCCCGAUCGAGCAAAGCGCGACCCGGCCCUCCCGGUACACCCAGUUCAGCGCCUCCUCCAUCUCCAGGCAGCACCGAUCCAGCACGUCGCCGUCCACAGCAGCGCCGCCGCCGCUCUGGGCUCCCUUGGCCUUUAGCAGCUCCCAGUAGAUGACGUAGUGUCCCGGGAAGCUCUUGGUGCAGGCCCGGCUGGUGUAGUCCACCACGAUCGCGCCGCCAUGCCGGCGGAGCAGCGCGGCCGCGCGCUCCACCGCGCGCUGCAGGUCGGCCUGGUCGGUCUUGUCGGCGUCCACGGACAGCAACACGCCCUUGCGGCGCACGAACCGGAACCGCGGCGCCGCGUUGUGGAACCCCGUCACGCGGAGCACGUCGCCGACGCGGUACCGGUUCAGCCCCGUGUAGGUGGUGAUCACCAGCUCGUACUCGCGCCCGGCCUCCACGUGGGCGAGCUCCACGAGCUGGCUCGCGUCGCCACGCGCCUCGCCGUCGACGGGGAGGAACUCGAAGUAUGCCAUGAAGGGCAUGAUGGUGUAGGACACCUCCGACGGGUCGCACAUCGGGGAGAGGUUGACGCCGAAGGCGCACUCCGAGGACGCGUACAAGGUGGAGAAGAUCGGCAAGCCACCGCUGUAGUGAUUCAGGGUCGGGACGUACUGCGCCAUGGAGCCGGUGACGAUGGUGUCGAGGUACUUGGUGUUGGGCCAGAUGCGUGCGAUAAUGCCCGCCCCACCGCCCUCGUAGCCCUCGGCGCGGAUGAACCGGGCAAGCUCGGGGUCCGGUCGGAGGACGCCGGCGACUGCCUCGCGCACCGACGGGUCAGUGAUGCGGUCGGCGAGUGUGCCGGCGUCGAUGUCGGCGGCGAGCUGUUCCCAGUUGUCGAGAAAGAAGGUGAUGGCCCGGACGACGCCGGAUGCAAACGUGGCGCCGACGCGCACCACAUCGUGGCGAUGGCACAGGCCGCACAGCAUCUGCGCGUACAUGCUCUGGAACGCGUUCGGGCAGAGGAUGGCCGCCACGGGGCUCGUGAGGGCGCCGGAUAAAGGGAGCUUCUUGAAGUGGUCGCUCUUGAACAAGCUCGUCAGGACGGGCUGCGCGAGCAGGCCUCCCGGCGUCUUCGUCUCCAAGUUCACGAAGUGGAAGUAGAGACCCCUCCCCUUGUCGAGCCCAGGCACGUACCUGCACGCCACGCACCAUGGCCACACGAUUACUGCAGCUGCUCUGCUAGUACCAACAAAUUAAAGAGAGCUUACUGGUUGAUGACAGGCAUAGCGAGGCUGCCCAGCAGCAGGCUGCGGUGGCGCUCAUCCUCGACGGUAGGUAUCAGCUUGCGCUCGCCGCCCGACGUGCCGGAGCUGGUGAAGAACUCGGUGACGGGGUGCCCCGGCCCCGUGAGGAUGGGCGAGCGGUCGCCGUUGGCGAUGCGGCGGAUGUACGGCAGGAGGUCCUCGUACUCCACCAUGGGAACCUUGGCCCGGAAGGUGGCGCGGUCGGUGGCGCCGGCGAGGCCGCACUUGCUGGCGAGGUACUCUGUCUCGGCGUUGCGGGCGAGGAUCUCCCCCAGGACGCGCUCCUGCAUGGCGUCCGCGUUGGUGGUCACCUCCUCGAUGAAGCGAAGCUUGUCGGCGUCCAUCUCUUUCGCCGGUUGACGAGGCUGGGGUACAGGUCGCCGCGCCGGGGGUCAACUUGCCGGUCGUCGCCGCUGCCUUUGGCUGGCUCAAUCGGUCAAUCCUAGCAGCUGUGUGGUGUCUGCAGGGUUGGGAUGGAAAUCGAGGGUUGUCAUCCCACCAGGUGCAGCAGCUGUGGUUGACAUUCGGGCCUUGUUUAGUUGCCCAACUUUGAAGAUGCAAAAUCAAUGUUGCAGCAUUGUAGCACACUGUAGCGUUUUGUUUGUAUUUGCGAAUUAUUGUUCAAAUAUUGACUAAUUAAGCUCAAAAGAUUCGUCUCGCAAAGUACAAUAAAACUGUGCAAUUAGUUUUUGAUUUCGUCUACAUUUAGUACUCCAUGCAUGUACCACAAGUUUAAUAUGAUGAGGAAUCUUCUUUUUGUACCGUGUCAAAGUUAGGAGUUCGGGGGAACUAAAAAGAGUCUCGGUGCCUGUGUGGAGCACGAGAUGCUGAUGACACCAGACAAACACGCGGGGUGCUGUUGGAGUAUUGUACAGUACAACACUCAUUUUGGUCGUCUAAUGAUCGUGAUGGUGAUCAAUAAAAGGAAAAGUUGCAAAAAUCCACCCAUACAUUUAGGAGAUUUCAAAUACCCAUCCGCGCCGCGGCUCACUUUUCUUGCAGUCUGAAACCUGCAAAUUUUAUGCAUUUUCAAAUGUAGCUUGCCAUUUCAUUUGAACCAGUGCUUCACAAUUGCUCAUUCCAGCCAUCGAUGCCAAUGCCACCUAUGAAUUUAGAGCUUGCCAUUUCAUUUGUAUCCCAUCUAAUUUCAGUAGCCAUGCAAUGCAUGUUUGUCCUCCCAGUAACCUUACAGGAGGAACCAACAAUACCAAGGGUGCUGAUAGUUCAAGUAUGCCAUCGAACUACCUGCUGUUCGGAGGUGCAGGGAACUCUAGACAUGAAAUGGAUGGAAUGAAACAAGAUCAUCUACACAGCCAAGAAUCGAGAAUUGGAUAAAUUCAAGUAUGCCAUCUCUUAUGCCACGAAUGAAGGUUCACUCAUUCACAUCAGAGGGUAAGCUGAAGCAACCGAAUAUUUAUGAUUUUGGGGAAAGUAUGCCAUCGCUGCAUGUUGGUGUUAGCUCUAGUAGAUUCAAUUUUGAUGGUCUUCACAAUUCCAUGACCAAAGCAGAACAAUUCUGAAUGGCAUGUGUGCAGAAGGAGCUGGAAGGUUACUGAACUGAAUGUCUGAAUCAUGCAGGGGAGAAUAUGGUUGCAGUACAAGUGCAGGAAACGGUUCGGCAAACAUGUCCAAUCAGAGAAACCAUCGACUGGUUCAGAACUUCAGAUAUGACGGCCUUCUAAUUUCUAAAUGGUUGGAAGCCGGCAAUCCGAUCCAUGUUCGUCUAGAGAAAGGAGCUUCACCCCCACCGCCACAGCCACAGGAAGGAAUUUUCUGGACGAAAUUUGGAGAAAAGAAAAACAAACAGAAAAGAUCAAAAGUCGGAUUCGCAGCUGGCGUCGGCAAAAGUCGGAUUCCCGCCACGCGCCUCUGGCCUAUAAAUCCAUCCUUCUCUUCUGCCGCUCCAUCCAUCCAUCCUUCUCUUCCGCCGCUCCCCUUCCGAUCCGCGUCGUGGAGAUGGCGGCGCUGGGCCCGGCGAUCUUCUCCCGCGGCUUCCGCUUCAACCCGACGCCCCUCGAGGCCGCCACCUACUACCUCCCUCGCCUCGUCGCCGGCGCGCCGCUGCACGAGGCCGUGCGCCCCAUCGUCAACCACGCCGACGUCUACGGCUGCGAGCCCGCCGACCUCGCCCGCCAGUUCUGCCCGCUGCCCAGGACCGGGCACCGAUUCUUCUUCACCUACUGCAAGCUGCAGCAGCCGCAGAGGGCGGGGAAGGCCAGCAGGGCCACGCGCGCCGCCGGCUCCGGAUCGUGGCACUCGCAGAGCGUCAAGGACGUCGUGGACCACGCCGGUGUCAAGGUCGUCGAGAUCAGGAAGCUCCGGUACAAGAAGGGCGGCGAGUACUCGGACUGGCUCAUGGACGAGUACUCGUGCUGCUUGGAGGACGCCGUCGCCGGCGACAGGCAGUUCGUGCUCUGCAACAUCUACGUGUCCCCCAGGGCCGACCAAGGCUCCGCGGAGCGCCAAGAAUCCGCCGCCUUCUUCGCUCCACCUGCGCCUGCGCCUGCGCCCGUCAUGAUCACGCAGGCGGCGGCACCCAAGAGGCCAGCGCCGCAGAGUGCCGAGUCGCCGUGCCCCAAGCGGAUGCGGGGUGCCGUCACCCCAAUGCCUCUGGUCGUGCAGCCGGCGGGCUAUUGCACGGCGUCCUUCGCGCCACCACUGCCGUACGUGCCUCACAUCGCCGCUUCAGCAAAGCCUCAGCCUCCGCCGCCGCCAAUUCCGACCCGUCUUGCAGCACCGCCGCCGAGUCGCUCGCCGGCGCCCACACCACUGCAGCCGCGUUCGCUACCUAAGCAGCAGGCGCCGCCGCCAACUCUCCCGGUUGUACGUGCCUGCCACAUGCCAGUGGAAGCACCGGCACGUCACUGCCAGCCGCCUAAGCCGUCCGUGCAGAGGAAGCAGAGCACACGUGAUCCGUUUGAAGCCGCUGAGCUGGGAGACGAAGCGGAGGAGGAAAGGGUGGCAGCGCCUGAUCCCAAGGAGUCCCCUGCAGCGCUUGUUGAUCAAGAUGACGACUGGGCCGAGUUGGAAAAGUGCAUGGACGACGCCGUGCCAACAGCCGAGGGCUCAACCAUGACUGAGGAUGAGAUGGACCAGCACUUAUCCUCGUUGUUUGAGGAGGAAGAGAUCCCGGAUGCAAUUGCAGCACCUGAUCCGGAGUCCAAGGGAUCCAAAUCGGCGCUUCAAGAUGACUUGGACUUGCACUGGACGACGUCUUACGAGUUACGACGAUCGAGUUCAACAAUGGCUGUUGACGAGCUUGCCUGGACAUGAAGCAGCAGUAGCAGCAGCGGAAGAGCUCCACACAGAAGAAGGCUUCCCGAUCACGUCUACGUGGUAGGAAUGUAGGAUCGUAGCACAUGUAGAAUUUUUCUGUGGAUGGAAUUUUAUAUGCCAUCCUGAAUGUAAAUGUUGCAUGUUGAUGAGUUUGUUAGGGAAUAAUCCUCCUGUCCAAGACCUAAUGUAUGCCAUGACAUUAUCACUGUCAGUCUCAACACACUUGACAUUAUCACUGUCAGUCUCAACAGUAGUAUAAUGGCCGCCAAUUUAGUUUCUGUUGUCCCAUGUUGUCUCCUGAUUUUUCUAAUUUUUGUACCCUCAUUCAAUGUGCUUGAUUACUGUGGCAAGUAAAAUCCGACACCCAAGGAACCUUCAUGCGAUGUGUUACAUGGUAAAACAAUAGGCACAAAAAACAACAGGAGCACGUUCAAUUUUGCACCUGUUUUAGUGAAACUGAUAUCUGACGAUGAAGAUAUAAGCCUUUGACAAUAUUUAAGAAUGCAUUUCUUAAGAAAGACAACAUACAUGUCUAGCAUGAUUUACAGAUGCAGGGUUGCAGUCAUCCACUCCCCGGUAUCUAAACGAGUAUAGAUGUAUCAUCGACUGAUAAUUUGCUGUUGUGAUUCAAAAUCAGACACCAUUAGUUACAUUAUCAGCACUCCCUCUAACAUCUCAUCCCAUAACUAGUACUCCCUCUAUUCCAAAUUACAGGUUGUUUUGGCUUUUCUAGAUUCAUAGAUGUUUGUAUGCACCUAAAUAUAAUAUACGUCUAGAUGUAUAUAUAAACAUCUAUGCACUAAAAAAUCAAAACGACCUGCAAUUUGGAACGAAGUAAAAUGAACCAACUGAAACCACCUCCGCAUCCCAUGGCAUUCCACACUGCAAUCACACUGAAGAACUCCAGACCACCGUAUCCUCUCAGAUUUGUUACAGAAUGAUGGGGAACAGCCCACCAACAGCGAUCUGAGUGUCCUUGGUCACCGGGUAAGAUACUGGCAGUGAGAAGAAGACGGUGAUGGUUGCCAGUUGCCUAGGCAGUGUAGACUGCUGUUGUCUUGCGACCGAUGCCAUUGCUUCUAAUGCGACGAGGCUGCCCAGAGACUGCAUUUGGAUUGGAAACAAUGCGAGUCAUGCGUUGAUCAAAAUGCUGCUAAAGUGGGAAUGAACUGAAAGCUCAUUUUGAAGGGUAACAGCGGAAUGAUUCAUGCGUUGAUGAAAUGCUUCAAACCUUGGGAUGAACUGUAAGCUUAUUUUGACGGCUAGAAGUAGGAUGGUUCAUUUCAUUUCUGAACUGUAAGCUCGUCGAGGAGGACGGUGCUGGCCGUCAGGUUGCCGUGCACGAUGCUCAUGUCGUCUGGAGGUAGGCUUGGCCACGGGCUGUCAUCCGCGUCGCUCAGUCCACCGGCGUGUUCGGAGCGCGAGCUGCAGCAAUGCCAUUCAUCACAGUACACAAGUUCAGAGUUUCGGUUCCACACGCGUCAAAAAGUGCAGAGUUUCAGUUCACGGGGACUCUAAGAAGUGGAAGGAAUGACUAGCUGGCAGCAAAUUUAUCAAGAGAUUUCGUAGAAUCGAGUUAAGUAAUGUUGAUAAUGCAGUGCUGAAUGUCUAAUCCAUCAAUUGUUAGGCCCAGUUGUCAGGAAACUCUGUCAGACACAAUUGUUGCAGGGUUUCACUUCAAAAGGUACUGAAUACUGAAAGACGAUGGGUUAGGAAUAAAAUUAUCAACAGAUUUGAAGUAACAAAGUUUAAUAAUGCAGAAAAGUUAUUGCUGUCGAAACAAGAAAUCCGUUUACUAGUACAGCUAAUCCUAAUCCAUAACUUGUUCGAACAAAAAUUGCACAAGGUGUCAGUUUCUUUCCACUGAACCUAACAUAAGUAGCUCUUGUUCAUUCUAUUGAACUUUUCAGGCAACUGCAGAGUUUUUAUUUUUAUUUACAAAAAGAAACUACAGAGACAAUUUACGGAGGUGUUAGUUUGCUUUAACUGAACGUAACACGACAAUUUGUUCUCAAUAGUUAGCGUUUUCUGCAUUGGCCAUGAACAGAGAAGCUGUGAAUUAACGCAUGAUUCUUCAGAUGCUAAGGGUAUGAACCGACACAGAGGCAAGCCCGGCGAGGGAAUCCGACUUGAAAACGGGAAAGCAAAACCGGAAAUUCAAAGUCUGGGCACACAUCUGGCGAUUUUUCGGGAGGAAACUUUGGAAACCAAAACCGGAAAUUCAAAGUCGGACACACAGCUGGCGCCGGCGGGAAUCCGACCUCCACUCGACCACUCCCGUCCCGCAGCGCGCCGCUGCACGACGCCGUCCGCCCCGUCGUGCACCACGCCGACGUCUACGCCUGCGAGCCCGGUGACCUUGCCGCCCAGUUCCGGCCGCUGCCCAAGACGGGAGACCGCUACUUCUUCACCUCCUGCAAGAAGGGCGCGCGCGUCGCCGGGCCCGGCUCCUGGAACCUGCAGAGCACCAAGGCCGUCAAGGGCGGCGCGGAUCAGGCCGAGGUCGUCGGCGAGAUCAAGAAGUUCCGGUACAAGAAGUGCGGCGUGUUCACGGACUGUCUCAUGGACGAGUUCUCCACGUGCUGCUCGGAGGAGCCCGCCGCCGGCGACAGGCAGUUCGUGCUCUGCAAGAUCUACGUGUCCCCCAAGGCUGCUAAGAACUCGGCCGAGCGCCAAGAAUCUGCGGCGUUCUUCGCGCAGCCUGCGCCGCUGCCCGCCGUCGUCAUGACGCAGGCGGCGCCCAAGAGGCCGGCGCCGCCGCAGGUUUCCGAGCCGCCGUGCCCCAAGAGGAUGCGGGGUGCCGUCGCCCCGACCCCUCCGGUCGUUUAGCUGGCCGGUUGCACGUCAUACUUCGCGCCACCGCGGUCGUACGUGCUUCACACCACCGCUUCAGCUCAGCCUCCGCCGCCAUUUCCGACCUUUGCAGCGCCGCCGAGUCACUCGCCAGCAAUCGCACCACCGUGUCUACUUGCGCAGAUGCCGCCGCCGAUUCCCCUUCCCCCAAUGUUAAGUGCCUACCACAUGCCAGUGCAAGCACCGGCGCACCAGUACCGGCCUCAGCCGCCCGUGCAGACGAAGCAGAGCAUGCGCGAUCCGUUACGUGUCGACAGCCGAAGCAGAGCAAGCGGCUGCCAACUCUGAGAGCUCAACGAUGGCUGACGGCGCGCCUGAUCCGGCGUCCAAGGAGUCCCCUGCUGCGCUUCAUGAAGGUUUCGGCAUCGAUCACAUCAUGUCGCUUCCAGAUGCCGCCUUCGAGGAGUGCCUCAAGUCGCUUCCUGUCGACAUCGAAGAGUCUUUCAAGGAGCUCCAGGAAGCGAUCCAGGUUUCAUAAGAAGACUUUUCUUGCUUAGACAUGCAAGAGCAGUAGCAGCAGCGGAAGAGCUCGCUCCAUACAGUCACAGAUUCCAGAUCAGGAAUAGGAUGGCAACACUUGUAAAUCUUUCUGCGGAUGAAACUAAUGUUAUCCUUUCUGAAUGUGACAACGUUGUGUGUUUAAUUCAAUUUGGGCAGUCUUGUGGUAGUACAAGAGCUGCUUGCUGUUAUGGUUUGCAAGCGAUGAUUCGAAAUUUGUUUCUGCGGAUCAAGGUCUUGCCAAGUUGUCCAAUCUGUGUUCAUUAGUGUUAUUUACCAUGACAAGAAAAACCUGCAAAACCUCCAAGAACACUACACGAAGCACCCUUAAAGUGCCGCAUAAUAAUGAGACAAUAUAUGGUUCAAAUUUCAGAAAGCACACAGACCAGCACUGUAAACUAGUACAAGUGCUGCUUGUUGUUUGAUGCAUUUUUAUAUGUGCUGACAAGCUAUAGUUCCAAAUUGUUUAAAUGGAUCCAUGUCUUUCCAAGUUCACUUUCCAUCUCUGUUCAUCACUGGAUAUCUCAUGCAUUUUGAGACAACAUAUGGCAUCAACGUCUCAUGCAUAUGUUGACAAGUACAAGCUGCAAAAGCGUUGAAGGGUAAAAUCACCAGAACCACCUCAUCAAGAACCCUAAAAGCACUGCAUUUUGAGACAACAGAUGGUACCAAAAGCACCCAUACGUAUAACAGCAUUCACCAAGAGCCAGUUCAUGAUCACUGGAUAUAUCAUUAAGAAGAUACAGAUCUUUGCCAUUUCUCAUCCAAGAAUGCAUUUCUGCAGAACCGAAUACUCAGACAAAAGAAAGACAACAUGCAUGCCCACAAUGACUCUUUCGAUUUUUAAUACAUGAUUAUUAUAGGGAAGCACAGUACAACUGUAACAGUCAUCGAACCCCUAACACCUUAACUAGGACCUGACAAAUACUAAACUCAGCACAACAACCAUGGCAUCUAUAGAUCAGGCAUACCAACCCCAGCUUUCUCAUCGUAGGUCUUCUCCAGCACAAGCUCAAUUGGUGUAUCCUUUGGGCCAGCUGUGUGAUUGGAAGGAAACAAUCAGAGCAACUUCUCAUCAACAAAUGUGCACGAGAGACAUACCAGAUAGCCAAAGAAUGUAUUUGAGACGACAAAAAAGAGUAUAUGGCAAAAUGUUUAAUGAACCUGUUUACUACUGAUUUGACCUACUUAUUCGUUCACUUAUGCAACUAAUAUCAUCUCUGGAGUUAAAUCAUAACUGGUGCUCAAAACAGAACAAUAUCAGAGUCUAUUUGCCCCAUACUCUGUUGAACUACAAUUCUCCUUCCAGCACAGAGAAGGUACCCAAUAUGUAUCGCAUCUCAACAACACCAGAGUGCUGAAAAAUUCUAAACAAACAGAUGGGAGUCGAGAAAUGGAGAAAACACUAGAUGCAGCCAGUUAAUAUCAGUAUUAAGUACUGCAGCAUAAGAAGUGCUAAUUAGUUCACACCUUUCUUUAGGUAAUUAAUGUUGUACUGAAAGGCACCAUAAAGUGAGAAUACAAGAUGUGUUUAUGAGACAUGCAUGCUGUGGAUCGCCAUAUAAUGAGUGUUAAAAGAAAAUUAUGAGACAUACGUGAUGUGGGUCUCGGCUUUUUUCUCUCCUUCAGAAUUUCUGGCCGGGGUAUCACAGCACCAGAUGCAUUCAUUCCUCUGGCGAAUCUGACUUUGGUCCCAUCUUCCAAAUACUUAUAUCCAAUUUUACAUGGUUUCCUGUGGUAAAUAUCGUGUUGACAAAUGAUUUUAUAAUGAGAAGUUAAUAAAAGCAAUAUCUCUGUAGGUACUAAAACAUGGUCAGGUAUCAUAUCCAUACCCAGUCACAGGAUCAACUACUUGGAUAUUCGAAACAUGAAGUGGAGCUUCUAUUGAGAAAAUACCACCUGUGUGCCCUUCCCCUUGCUUAAUGUGUUUCUUAACCUGAAAUGAUGAAAGCACAACUAUCUAUGUAAUUCCUAGUGCGCAAGAGGACACGAAAAGGCACAAGACAAUGAAACCAUGUUACUUGCUGGUUGCAGUUAACAGUACCCAGAAUAAAUAAACACCGAGUGUGCACCAAAUUUUAAGUAAAUACAUAAUGAUUUUAGACAGAUGAGAAAAACUGCAUAUUUUUUUGUUCCUGUCUGGUAUUCAACACAGCAGAUUCUGCAAAACAAAGCCCUCAGCUACCACAUUAUAACUAGUUGAGUUAUUGAACAUCUAUUGGUCAUGAACUUAUGGUCUUAUUGCAUGUUAAUUCAGCUACAAAUUCAGAUGGUCUUACGCCAGUAUGUAACUGUUGAUAUGGUAGGCAGAGUGGCAGACAUGUCCCAAAGAAAAACAGUAAAGCAUGUAAAGAGGCAUUGCAGUAUAUGCAACAUGAUAAUGAUUUGCUAUACUGAAAGAAAUUAUGCUUGACAAAACAUAUAAACAGGAGAUAUUGGUAUGCUUGUUCCCCUUGAGUGUCACUGCUAUUCUUUCGUUUAACCAAUUUGUAAAGCUAAUGGCCAACAUCCACCUAUAGAUAAAUGAAUGCGCACAACUACUUUCUUUGCGCCAUAAUGGAACUGUGGCAGUUUGGAGGAAGAGCUACAUUAUUCACAAGUAAAACUCAUGUUAUCAGCCUCAAAGCAGCACAACAAGGACAAAAACUGGGCAUCAUCUAACUACUAACGUCACUUUUUUCAACCAAGAGCACAGUACCAACACUAGCUUGAACUCUGAAGUCUGAAGAAUUUACAUAAAAUUUACGACGGGCCACCUUUCAACUAUAAUGGUUUGGGAAUUUGGACGGGACGGAACGGAUAGAGCACAAUGUUAUCUAGGGGGCCUUAAUUGAAUAGACACGGCCAGUCUGCAAAAACCUAAAUACCAAUUAUACUAAGUAACUGUGUUGAGUCCAAUUUAACCCACAGUUGUAGGAUGCCACACAUAUCUUCUAAACUGAUUCCACGCCCGAGUUAAUUAGCUGGGGAAAGAGCGUGGAACAACAAAUUACCAAGUUCUUGCCCUCGACGAUGACGCGAUUCUGGGACCGAAUGACCCGCUUGAUGAGCCCGGUCUCCCCCUUGUCCUUGCCUCUGAUGAUCAUCACCUGGCAGUGAAAAAAAAAGGAGAAUGGGAGAUCUCGCAAUGAGAAGAUAGUAGGACUGAAAAGACUAACUGGGGGAUGGGCUGCAGAACGAGAGAGAUUACGUUGUCACCGCGGAGUAUCUUCCAGUGCCUGAUGAGCUUCUCCGCAGCCUUCCACCCCAUCUUUCCUUGAAGCCGCCUCCUCUCUCCCGCGGGUUUGGGGCUGCGGCGGCCGGUGACGGAGGCGGCGGCCGGCGAGGGAUGGAAGAAGAGCGAGUGGCGGCGCGGGGCGCUGGGGCUGACUGCUGAGAGCGUGAUUGGGCCGGGCUAGUGAAGAGGAAGCUUGGGCUGCUGCUGCUGUUUGGGAAGGAUUGCCUGGCCUGCUAUCCUUGGGCUAAGCCCAAAUUGACUUCAGUCCACACGUUUGACAAAUUUCGCCUAUGCUACAAUUUUACUUGCAAAUUAAAGUUUGCAAAAAUGCUGCAUCUUUUAUGAACUUAGAAGAUAGUGAUACCCAUAAUUUUCAGAAUUAAAUUCCAAAGUGGUCAUAUCAAAUCCCAUCUGUGUACAAAGGUGUAUUAACACAAAAGGUGAUUUAGGACAGAGAAAAGGCCCAGCUUCAGUAACAAAAGAGAAGGCCGACAGCUACGCUCCUCUUUUUCCAAAUGCUUUAGAACAUCUAUGUUUUUUCAAGCAUCAUCCAGCACCAUUACUCAACUGCUUGCGGUUUGACGUAGUCGGUGAAAAACAAGUUGUUUCCUAGCACUUCGAAAAUAUAGCCGCAUUGACGCCACUGAAAAAAAAAACAGUCUAUGUCAGACUACCGGACCUCAUUGCAAGCGAGUUUAGAAUUACGCAUUCCUACGCUUGGAUUCUUCUCUUCUCACUGUGCAGCUCUGAACCCCAGGUCCGAGUGUGUCGAUGCUCCGUCUCUCUUCAUAACAAGUGUUCUUCUCCGAAUCCCAAAAAGUUUGCUUCGACGUCGGUUACACUGUACUAGACGGUGGCUAAAGUCUCUCCAUUUGAGUCUGAUCUCAUCAUCCUCGGGUCCUACACUAGAACAGGUCAACAGCUGGCAGUAAAUUCAGAAUCAGGCCCUUCUGUCUGGAGUUUACAGCAAUCCAGCCAUUUCUAUCGAGAUGUUGAAUGGAACUGCCGUGUGAUCACAAGCAGUACCAGUGUCUCGUACAAUAAAAUUAUUGGCUUUAUACGGAGAUCUUUAAAUGGAAUUCCCCUUGGAGAUGCCAGAUGUGUAAAUGGAAACUGUUGACAAAUUCUUCACCAUUGCUGAAGAUCUCCGAGUUUCAAGCAACUUCGUCAACAGUUGAAGCACAGCGUACGUAAAGAACUCCAUGGUCCCAUCCCGUGCACCGACGACGAUCGACCAUGCGCACCAGCUUCCCUACUCCCAGUUUCCAAGCUUAAAUGUCAACGAGCGCAUCACUAAGCUACUAUUCAUAGCUCUGCUCUGCACCAAGCAGCUUCACCAAACUCCCCGCUCAAAGCCACAUCCAGUUCCCCAUGGGCGCCGGCGACGACACCGCGCCGGUGGCCAAGGCCGCCAUGGAGGUGUCCUCGUCGUCGACGUCUACCUCCACGGCGCGAGCGCCUUCGCCAGAGCCGCCGCCGUCGGUGCUCAGGUCCGUGAUGCUGUCGUACGCGUACGUGGGCAUCUGGAUCAGCCUCAGCUUCUCGGUGAUCGUGUACAACAAGUACAUCCUGGACCCCAAGAUGUACGGCUGGCCCUUCCCCAUCUCGCUCACCAUGAUCCACAUGGCCUUCUGCGCCACCCUCGCCGCGGCGCUCGUCCGCGUGCUCCGCGUCGUCGACGUGCCCACCUCGCCGCCCAUGACGCCGCGCCUCUACGCCGCCUCCGUCGUCCCCAUCGGCGCGCUCUACGCGCUCUCGCUCUGGUUCUCCAACUCCGCCUACAUUUACCUCUCCGUCUCCUUCAUCCAGAUGCUUAAGGCGCUCAUGCCCGUCGCCGUCUACUCCCUCGCCGUCGCCUUCCGCACCGACUCCUUCCGCCGCGCCUCCAUGCUCAACAUGCUCGGGAUCUCCGCUGGCGUCGCCGUCGCCGCGUACGGGGAGGCCCGCUUCGACGUGUUCGGCGUCACGCUCCAGCUCGCCGCCGUCGCCGCCGAGGCCACGCGGCUCGUGCUCAUCCAGAUCCUGCUCACCUCCAGGGGCAUGUCCCUCAACCCCAUCACCUCGCUCUACUACAUCGCGCCCUGCUGCCUCGCCUUCCUCACCGUGCCGUGGUACGCCGUCGAGCUGCCCAGGCUGCGCGCCGCCGCGGCGUCGGCGGCGGGGCUCGCGCGCCCCGACGUGUUCGUGUUCGGGACCAACUCGCUCUGCGCCUUCGCGCUGAACCUGGCCGUGUUCCUGCUGGUGGGGAAGACGUCGGCGCUGACCAUGAACGUGGCCGGUGUCGUCAAGGACUGGCUGCUCAUCGCCUUCUCGUGGACGGUGAUCAAGGACACCGUCACGCCCAUCAACCUCGUCGGCUACGGCAUCGCCUUCCUCGGCGUCGCCUACUACAACCAUGCCAAGCUGCAGGGGCUCAAGGCCAAGGAGGCCGAGAGGAAGGCGGCAGCCACAGCGGUGCCCAAGCCGGAUGACGCGGAGGCGGCCACGCGGCUGCUGCCGGAGAAGGACGGCAGCGGCGGUGACCACAAAAACUGAAACGCAUUCACUGAAAAAUGAUUCUGUUGUACACUGCAUUUUAUUCAUCUCAGCUAUAGGACGUCUGAAACUUCGAUUUAGUUCAUGGUCGAUUUAUGCUGUUUAAGUUUUGCGGUUCUUAAGUACAGGAAAUGCAAAGGAUAAAUGAUUCGGAAGUAUGUUUGUUUCUUGUUAGCAUUUGAUAUCUUUUAUUUCAUAGAAUCAUAUCAUUUAGAUGAUACAUGUAUCAUCGAACUGUUGGUUACUACCAAACUAGUCUGGCGGUCUGGAUGCCUUCUCGUCAUGAAAAGAAUGGCUAUUGUUGUGCUACAAGUCACAGGGUACAAAAUCUUUAGGUUUACUCAAAGUGGCACCAGCUGAAAAGGAACAAAAAGAUACAGCAUCUAAACGUGUUACAGUGAAGUGAUGCAUUGUGAGUUGCUAGGCAGGCAGGUAAGCCGUCCCUAACUAUAUGCUCCCAGUCGACCAAUCACUCAGGUUCCUUCAUCUUCGCUCAAAGGCUCAAAGCUCACCCGAGGAGAGCCAAAAAAUGGCCUAAAAUAUUAUGCAUAUGGUUCGGUUGAAAUGGACUUUUCUGUUCCAUAAUUCCAUGUCCCUUCUUUUAAGUUUUUUUUUUGUUUUGAAACACCAUACGUUUUAAGUUAGGAGCAUGAAUUCUGACAGUUCAUCUAGUGUGGUGUCUGAAUUUCUGAAAGCGUGAACUCGUUGGCGAUCAGAUUCAAUCUUUUUACGUUCUGCGAUUCUUCAAUUCAUGGAAUGCAAGAGACCGGCUUUUUGGGCAGCGGUGGGAGGAGAGCAGCUGCAGCCCCUUGCCUUUCGCAGCCCGCGCGCCUCGGAGGCGCCGCACUCCGGCCGCCGUGCCGCCCCUCCGGAUCCCUCCGCGCCGCCGCGUCCCUCCGUGGCUGCACAGCCCCUCCGCUUCUCUGCACGGCCCCCCUCCGCUUGGUGUGCCGGCGUGUCGCGCCGCGGCUGGGCGGGAAGGCCCAGGCGGAGCAGCAGAAGCAGAGGCUGUAGAGUUGACCAGGAGCCUCAAUGACCCCACAACCAACGGCGGCGGGCUGCCAGAGACGGAUCGGACGGCGCACGCGUCAGGGACGGAAACGAAACGAAUUAGGCAACCGAGGGGGCGGAGUGCAAAACUGAGCCUCGCUCGACUUGGGUUCCGUCCUCGUCCCAUUGCCGCCGCAUUGCGUCGUUCUCCUCCGGCUAGGGUAGUUUCUCCGUUGGCUUUCCGAUCUCCAAGCUUGCCGCGGGCAGCUUCGGAUCACUCUGAGGUAAGAACUCGAGUCCCUCCGAUCAAAGCCCACCCGUUUGUUGCUGUCCGAUUAGCUUCUGUCCUUGUUUGCAAGUGAUAUUGUGCUGCGGGGAGCGGGAGAAAUUAGGGUGUGUCAGAAUCUCUGCUUUCCACUAGAUUCAGUUACUUGAUUGCGAAACGUUAGAGUGCUGAUUCGCGUUCCCCAUUGAACGUUGAUCCAAUGAUCCCUCUCCCGACGAUCCCAUCCUCCAAGGGGCCAAGCCGCUAAGGGGAGCACACUAGAUAUUGCUAAUCAUGUACUAGAUGCCUAGAUACAUAGGAGGCAGCCUUUAAAUUCUAAUCAGAAAGCAAGGGGAGCACACUAGAUGUUCCACCCCUUUUUUUUAAGUUCUGUCAGUACUAGUGGCUCUAUCCUGUUUCUUAUGAAAACACUAGAUUCAGUCCAGCUUCAUACCUACAGAAUGGCACAUGUAAUUUGCUGGUGGAUGGCUUAUAUUUUUUUAAUCAUACUUGUCUUCUAUGCAAGGACAAGGUUGAUCUUAACAUAUUUGGGCAACAUUUUUUUGUUGACCCAAAUGGGCAACAUAUUUUAGAUACAAUCACAUAACUAAGCUUUCAGUUAGAUCUGAGGAGCAAUGAUGGUUUAGAGACUGUAUUGUCUAUGCUCAGAAGGAAAUUUUGUCCAUCAUAUGACUCAGUGACUGGUACAUCUAUCGGCAACACAUGAGUUAUUUCAGAAUGCAUAAAGUAAAAUUUUAAGACAAUAAGUAGUUAAUGUCUUGUAUGUUAGGGCCAAGCUUGAAGCAGUAUUAACUUUGUUCAGUUGUAUAAUGUUUUGAUUCUUUUGUUCAGUCUUCAGAGGGUAUUUAUCUCCAUGUUCUCCAUGUUUACUGUUUAGUCACUCUUAUUCUUAACUGCUUAGCUAUUUACUUGGGUUCAGAUUUUAUUUUAGAUUCACACAUUAUGUACAUUGUUCUCUAAUUCUUAUUUUGUUUUUUUUCCUGUUCCUUUUCCUACCCUUCCAUUCAUUUAAUGGAAUAUUGAUACCUUGCAAUUACACCAGCCCGCUCAAUUAUACUUCAGAUAGCAUCUUCUUUGCCUGUCCUCUUUAACAUACUCUUGUUGACGGUGCUAUCAUAUUCUUGAUAACCUUCCGUACUGCCUAUCUGAGGAUACUGCUAUUUCUGCAUUUGUUCCUCAACAGUCACUUGCUUUGUGGUUCCAUUUUCCAUUUGGAUACCCAUGGCUGAAUCCAUUUCGAGAUUAUUACAUAUAUUUUGUUCUAGCUGUUUCUGUUGUUUUUUCCCUAUCCAUUCAUCAUCACUUUGCUCCCCCAAUAUUGUUGGUUCCUGUGCUCUUUCCAAAGUUUUCUUGAAACUUUGAGCUUUGAAAGAUGCCGAGGAGUACAGAAAAUGCUCUCAGACAAGAAGACCAUUUGGAGUUCGAUGAUCCUGAUGAGGUAGAUGAAGAGGAAGUUGAGUAUGAAGAAAUUGAGGAGGAGGUUGAGUAUGAAGAGGUAGAGGAGGAUGAGGAGGAAGAGGAGGAGGAAAAAUCUGAAGUUGUGUGUGAAGUUGAUGCUAAGCAUGAGAGUAAAAUGGUAGAUCAGAAGGAUGAGGAAGAAAAAGAGAAGCAUGCUGAGCUUCUUGCUCUUCCUCCUCAUGGAUCUGAAGUGUAUGUUGGGGGCAUCUCAGAUGUAUCUUCUGAAGAUCUCAAAAAACUAUUUGAGUCGGUUGGAGAAGUUGUGGAAGUGAGUACUGCCUACUUUCUAUGGGUUAGCUUCUGCAUUUGUCUUCUUCUGCUAUUCAGAGUCUGUUUUUCCUGCAGGUGCGAAUACGAGGAAAGGGGGAUAACAAGCUGUAUGCUUUUGUUAAUUUCAGAACUAAAGAACUGGCUUUAAAGGCCAUCCAAAAGCUGAACAAUAAAGACCUAAAGGUUUGUCUUCACUUGAACUCAGAGUCAAUCUUCAUGUUAGUCCACCAGUGAUGCAAACUUUAAGUUUUUAUACUAUCAGUUUGCAAACUUUCUUUACUGCUGCAAUCUUCAUGUUAGUUCGCAACUUUUUUACAAACUUUUUAGACUGAACUCAGAGUCAAUCUUCACUGGUGGAUGCAAACUUUUUAUAUUAUCUUCAUGUUAGUUCACCAGUGAUUUAUUUACAUUUAGCGAAGUACAAGGUUAUAUGAUUACAAUUACAUCUGCUUGCUAUUUUUAAAAAAGUUUGCAGCAGUCCCACUGUCGAGUUUAAAAUACAAAACCUUGUGAUUAAUUGCAAACCCCUGUGUUCAGUCAUACUUUUAGAAAUCAGAAUUGUGGAUGGCAGUAUAUUAUGUUUUCAACAAUAAUUUAUUGGGGGUCCUUUCUAAAGUGUUUCCGGCACCAUAUUAUACAAACCUGGUUUUGCAACCCAAACGACGUAUGAAUACACACUAGUACUUUCUGAAUCCUUGUUGCACCUGAUUAACUCAUAUAUCUUGUAUAUUGAUACGAAAUAUACCAUAUUAUUAUGGUUCUUGUAACAGGGAAAGAAGAUAAAGGUUUCUUCGUCCCAGGCAAAGAACAGGCUAUUUAUUGGGAAUAUACCCCAAGAUUGGACACAGGAUGAUUUCAAAAAUGCAGUGGAAGAAGUUGGUCCUGGAGUUUUAAAAGUCAAUCUCCCGAAGGUAUGGAUACAAUACUAUGAUAGUUCAAUAACUUCAGCAUGCAUCAUUACAGUUGUUUUACACUGAAUGUAUCUUUGUCAUAGGCACCACGUUCAGAUUGCCACAAGGGCUAUGGCUUUAUUGAAUACUACAACCAGGCAUGUGCAGAGUAUGCCAGGCAGAAGAUGUCUACCCCAGAAUUCAAACUAGAUACAAAUGCUCCUACUGUCAAUUGGGCAGAUACUAAGAAUAGUGGUGAAUCUGCCUCUACUGCGAAGCAGGUCCUUUCGAGUUUUGAGCACCACAUGACAAAAUAUUACUUCAAAAUGUUUUCUUCUAUAAUGAUGUUGUGUAUGGAUGUGCAUUUUUUGUCUUCAGGUUAAAUCUCUUUAUGUCAAAAACCUGCCCAAGACUGUUACUGAAGAGCAGCUGAGAACGCUGUUUGAGCACCUUGGAGAAAUUACAAAAGUUGUUCUUCCUCCUGCAAAAGCUGGUCAUGAAAAUCGGUACGGUUUUGUUCACUUUAAGGAACGGUACAUGGCUAUUAAGGCUCUGAAGAACACCGAGAGAUAUGAACUUGAUGGUGAGUUUUCUUCUCUAACAUCCUUCUAUAGCUGGUCAAUUUUGCUUCAUGUAUCCAAAAGGUCAUGGGUUAUUUCUCUAUCAGGUCAGCUACUGGAUUGUUCACUUGCAAAAGCAGACAAGAAGGAUGAUACUAUAUCAGUACCUAAUACAAAAGCAGGUCCAUUGCUGCCAAGUUAUACCCCACUUGGAUAUGGACUGUCGGGGGCCUAUAAUCCACUUGGAAAUGGACUGGCAGGCGCUUAUAAUCCACUUGGAAAUGGACUGGCAGGCGCUUAUAAUCCACUUGGAAAUGGACUGGCAGGUGCUUAUAAUCGACUUGGAAAUGGAUUGGCAGGUGCUUAUAAUCGACUUGGAAAUGGAUUGGCUGGUGCUUAUGGUGUGCUUCCUGCUCCUGCUGCACAGGUACAUGCCAUCAUCUGCUAUGACUGGCCGCUGCAUGAGAUAGAUUACAUAUACAAGAGGUGAUAGCCUUCUAACUGUUGUGUAUGCUUGGCAUUCUUUGCACCUCUGCAGCCAAUUUUGUAUGCUCCAGGUGCUCCUUCAGGUUCAACAAUGAUCCCAAUGGUUCUACCAGAUGGCCGUCUUGUAUAUGUGUAAGUAUUCGCUCUAUCCUAAGUAUUCUUCUACAAAGGUCAUACAUCAUACAUUCAACUGAACUAAUGCAAUUCCAACUCCUACUGCAUCUGGAUUACAUUGUUGUCUUGUAAUGUUACUUGUUGCCGCAAAUCCAUUGUUGAAACACUUGUCAGCCAGUUCAUACAUUAGGUUACAGAGAAGAAACGGUUUUGAUCAAUGUGCACAUAACAUCCAUUUUUUCAGUACAUGAUAAAAGUAGUGCUUGAGAGCCCCUGUGUUAAAACACAUGUAAUUUGUUUAGUAUUUGCAGCUCUUGAAUUUGACAACAUGCAUAGACCUGGAGUAUUUAAAUGAAAAGAGUCUCUAUUGUAGAAUAAAGUUAUUUUGUAAAAUUUGCAAUGGUCCAAUAAUGUGAUGAAAUGAGAUUGUUAUAUUAUAUCCUAACAUAACCCUUUAUUUUGUUCCUUCACCUUCCAUAUUAAGAGCAGCCCUUUGAACUGCUGCAGUGAUAAGUCCAUUGUCGAUUCAUAGUUUCCUUGGUGUUUGGCAGACCACAGGCUGCAGGGCAGCAAACUGUGCAUGUGGCUUCGCCUCCAUCACUGCAAGGUGGUCAUCGUUAUGGUGGUAGCAGUGGUGGUGGAUCCGGCUCUGGUGGAAGGCGGCAGAGAGGAGAUGACCGCGGUAGUACUAGUAGCAACAACAGCCGCAGGGGCCGACACCGUCCAUACUGAUGUUUGCAAAGGUUGCUGUUAGCGUUUAGAAGUUAGAACCUAGGACAAAAGAAUGCCUCUGUUGCAGUACCUGGAUCUGGAUGGCUACCACCUAAUAGCUGGAGACUGUACUUUGUAGUUUGCACUAGCGUUUAUUUUCCUCGGUCUGUAACGAACCGCUGUAGAACCAAUAAUACUGCAAACCGUAGAUGUAGCUUGGGAUGCUAUCCAUCAGGCUUCAAGAACAGUUUUGCUGUGCUCACUGCUAUGGUCUACAUUUGUGUCUGUUUGAUCACUCUCGGCGUGUUCAGUGCCGUGAGGAAUUGAAUUCUGGUGACCUGACUCUGAAUUUAACCUGUUGCUACUGUCUGUGGACUGGAAUGUGUCAAUCCAUCCCCACCUUUAGCUGUGAACGCCAAGCAGGCUGCAAGACUAGGUUCUUCUUGGGUGUUCAGUGCGGUGAGAAAUGUUCGGUGGACUAGGACGGCCGCCCAGGUUCUUCUUGGGUGAACGCCAAGCAGGUUGCAAUAAUCGGUAGAGUAGACUAGGACGGCCCCCUAGAUCAGCUGGCAGCGGCAAAACUCACCAAUCAGCUUACUGAAAGCAUCGGUGUUUCUCCAGUAGAUUCUGCAGAGGCCUUAGCUUUAUUCAAAAAGGAAAAAGAUUCUGCAGAGGGAGAGGAGAAGUGUUGACGGGGGCACGUCGGCAUCCCGCUGCACGGGCACGGCACAGCCGGAGCCGGAGCGGGCUCUCUGUUUGACACAAAGAGGAUUCCAGGCGGUGGUUCGAGGGCGUAGAGGAAGAGAGACUUGCCGUGGAGGCCUCUUGCCAUCAUGUACGCUGGUCCUGUUCAUCAAACCUCGAUCCGUAAGCAGAUCAAGGCUCUGGUCCUCCACUCCUCCGAGCCAGAAUCCUCUGCACGCGUCCUGCGAAACCAUGCUGCGCCCGUUCUUUUCGCGCAGAAGCCGUCGGUGGCGAGCACAGCCUCCGCUUCGCCUGCCAACAGCGAGCUUCUCCUCCCGUCGAUGGUGGCCAUCAGCCGACAUGGCCGCUGAUGACGGCUGCACAAACCAGCCUCCAUGCCUCGGGAGCCAAAGGAAGAUACAUUGGAGUUUGCUUUGAGUGGAGCUAUUUUCUGACUUCGAAUACAGUUCACAAAUGCAGUGGAAGGAUACAUUGGAGUUUGCUUUGAGUGUUCCUGUGGCGGUGGAGUCCAAUUUGAAUUGCUUUUAGACUUUCGUUGCUUGGGCACUGUCAAAACAAACUACAUUUUCAGUUCGUAUUACCAUUGUUAAGGCAGACUGUCUUUUAGGGGGUGUUUGGAUACGAGGUGUUAAACUUUAACAGUGUCACAUCGGAUAUUCGGAUGCUAAUUAGGAAAACUAAACAUGAGCUAAUUAUAAAACUAAUUGCAGAACCCUGUGCUAAUUCGUGAGACGAAUCUAUUAAGCCUAAUUAAUUCAUCAUUAGCAACUGGUUACUGUAGCACCACAUUAUCAAAUCAUGAACUAAUUAGGCUUAAUAGAUUCGUCUCGUGAAUUACACUCCAUCUGUGCAAUUAGUUUUGUAAUUAGCCUAUAUUUAAUACUCCUAAUUAGCAUCCAAACAUCCGAUGUGACAGGUGUUAAAGUUUAACACCUGGUUGCCAAACAGGCCCUUAGUUUACUUACUCAUUUCAAGAAAAUUGCCAUGGCAAUCAGUUUAGAGUCUGACAGGUGAUUAGCAAAAAAGAUGAAACAGGUGAUUUUCCAUAGAAAAGAGCACAACAAGAUUAGUUCAAUAAUCAACAGGUAAUUAGCACAAAAGAUGAGUUCAAGAAAAUCACAGCUUGAGCAACAUGAAAAGAGCAAUCCUGACCACAAGCCCCGAAUAUUCAGUCUCCAUUCUCCCAUACCACCAUCCGUUCACAAACAACUCCUAAUCUCAAGCAACCACGGUAGUAAUAGCAACAACAGCUACAGGGCCCGGCACCGUCCGUACUGAUGUUUGCAAACGCUGCUGUUAGCGCUUAGAAGUUAGAACCUAGCACAAAGAAUGCCUUUUUUGCAAUUUGCAGUACCCCGGCUGCCUACCAGCGAAUGCUGGAAACUGUUCAUUCCACUAGUGUUUAUUUUUACUACUCGUCUGUAACAAACCGAUGUAGAACCAAUAAUAUUGCCAACCGCAGAUGUAGCUUGUGAUGCACUUUAUUCAUCAGGCUUCAAGAAUAGUUGUGCUGUGCUGUGUGCUCGCUGCUAUGGACUACCUUUGUGUCUGUUUGAUCACUAGGUGUGUUCAGUGCGGCGAGGAAUUGAAUUCUGGCGGAUAAAAUGAGUUUACUCUGAAUUUAACCUGCUUCUAAUUUCUAUUGUUUGUGGAGUGUAAUGUGUCUACUGUCGAUCCAUCCCCACCUUAGCUUAAGAUGACAACUGUUCGUUACACUACGAGGCCCCCCAGAAUUGGGGGUUCUUGGGUGAACGGCAAGCAGGUUGCAAGAAUCGAUAACAGAUUGACAGGGAUGAGUUGGUGAUCAUCAGCUAGCAGCGGGCUGCGGCAACUCAGCACCCAGCUGAAGUGUACGCCGAGAGGGCAAAAGUGAUCGCUGAACAAAUCUGAACUGUGAACUGAAGCAUUGGUGCUUUUGCGUGGAACUUAGGAUGGGCAUAUAAUUUGUGUACUCAUGCUCUAUUGCUCUGCUCCCUCCUCCCCUUCUCCGCCUCCGCCGGCGCCAGCGACUCGAGGGGAAGAUAUUCCUGUGGCACGUACCGCACAUCUUGGUUCGUCUUGUCGAUGGUCUGAACCACCAUGGAUUAGCCUCUGAACCCAAGGCUAAUGUGGCGAUUCCAACGCAUGAUCUUGGUUACGUGCUUCCGUUGUUCAAUGCCAAUGUGAUCAGAUCACGGCUCGGUCAACAGAAGGAACACAUGAUAAGAAACUAGUUCAUUUCAAGAUAACAUUGCACAAUCAUCAAAUUAUCGGUAGGGAACACACAAGCUUGAAUAUUCGAUCGACAUUAUUCCUUAUCACCACACAUUCACAGAGCUCUCACCACUAACCCACAAAUCUCAAUCAUACAAGAAAACCAUAGCAACUGGCCCGACAAGAAGGUCCAGAGCACUCAACGCUGACACCGAGACAGGAACGCACACCAGCUCAGCUCAGGACUUGAGCUCAGUUAAUUUCAGGUCCAAACGAACGCCGCAACGGCAACCACGGCGGCGGCGACGCCCAGCAAGUAGCCUGCACCAUCAGAAGGGCCCGUCCCCGCCGCGCCGCUGUUCCCGUACUGGGCGCUUGCGGCGCCGAAAUGGGUGGCGACGCAGGCGACAAGCAGCAGGAGAGCAGCAACCAGCUGCUUGGAAGCAGACAGUUGGUCCAUCCUGCUGGGUUCAGAGCUCAGGUACCCUUGCACGUUCUUGGCGAACGGCAGGCUAUAUGUAGCCAACCGACGCCGGGGAUGGCACUCAUGAGUCAUGACAGCAUCAAAACGGCAAAUGGAGGGAUUGGAAGCAUCUCGCUAGCUCGCGACGGUAGCAACAAGAAGCUGGAUCUCUCCAUGGGUUGAAGCCUUGUUUUAACCGUCAAGUUCUGAACGACAGGUCAGUUUGACCGUUUCAAUGGAGUUCCCUUUGCCAACAUUUGGAGCCUGGAUCCAUUGAUCUGGACAGUUGGUUUGCGGCAUAUUCGUCUGAAAUUUUGAAGAAAAUGGACAGUUGAUGCUCCGGUAGCUACAAAGGUGAGGCCUUGCUUUUUAUGUGUCCACACCAUCCAUUACUGUAUGCAGCUUGCUGAUUGACAGCGUCAGUUCCAGUUAAAAAUUUCCUCUCCCUUUCAUGCUCUGGCAAUCAACUAGCAUGUGUGUGAUAAUGAACCAAUUAUUCUCUUUUGACACUUAGAAGUGAAUGCCAAAGGCGGCAAUGCCUGAUGCAAACUACUAAGUGUUAGGCACGGGCAAUGCCUCAUGAGAUCCUGCGUCAAAUUCUGAAACAAAACACGGGUAUAAGACGACAUACACACUUAAACCGCUUCGGACGUGCCCCCUCCACUUUUAUCCGGGCUUGGGACCGGCAUUGGCAGUGUUAGGCACCCCCCUACCCCACACCCUAACACGUACCCACAAGCAUAAACAAGAAAAUUAAACAGAACGAAAAAUAUCCCCAGUGCUCCAAUCACAACAAAAUUCAUCACGAUUAGUUAUCACUACAAACCACAUAUAGAAGGAGCUAUACAAACUGCUAGUAUUAAAAAUGCAACCAUCACAGCUAAAACCACUAAAUCAAACAAUAGUAAUUACAAACAGCACAGGCAAGGAGAAAAUUAUGCCAUGGCUGGGAAGACAAACUUGGAAUGAGCAUAUUUCACGUUAGCCAGCAUGCAAAUGAUGAUAAUCAACGACCAACAGAAACUUGGAAUAGCUCAGUAAACUCACAGUGCAAUUCGGCACAAGGACAUUACAAUUUUAUUAACAGAAGACACAACCACAUUGCAUUACUCAAAACUUCCAUAAAUGCGUCAAUUUAUAGCCUCAUACCACUUCAAUGCUGCAAAGAUGACGAGAAAAAUGGAAUCAAACAGCAACAUCAGGUUUCGCACAAACACACAGACACAACAAAAUGCUGCAAAUCAUCAAUUCCUAAAUAAGACUAGAAGAUUUUCAAUGCAACAAAAAGCAUACAUAACUCCUCAUCAACAUCUACUUAAUAGUUAUUGCACCUGAAGGUAACAACUAUAAAAGACAAUACCCAAUGAAAUUCAUUACCAUAAAUUAUUAUAAUCGGUAGACAACACAGGAAACAGGAGUCUACUGAAGGACACACACAAGGACUUCUAGGUAGGAUUCAACUCACAGUUAAAAAGACAAGUUCACACCAUUACCAAAUAAUGUAGUAUUUGAACUGCAUAAUAUACAACACAAAUGAGUCUUAUCCAGAAGGAAGGAUAUUAUAGGGACAUGGUCAUUAGUAUGGAUGCACAACUUUAGAAGAAAAAUUUCACACCAGUUAAAGAGUAACCAAGAUACACACUUCUUAUUUCUCACAAAAUUGAAGGACCAACAGUAAUGAUACUAUCAGGUAACAGAAACAACUUGUGUUAGGAGGCCGGCAUUACUAGUGAAGCAAAGAAAGAAUUCAAUAAUUCCUGUGUUAGGCUAUCUUAAGAUGAAAUGAUCAAUUAGUUGCUUGGAAUUGCUGAAUGCAAACAGUUAGUAUUGCUGAAUGCAAACAAUGUCUUGUUUCCUUUGAAAUUUAAUUCCAGCAAUUUGCAAACUAAAAUAGGGAAACUAUGAACUCAAAAAUAUAAUUUGUGCAACUUCAAAACAGUAAACUCCAUGACUAAUAUCAUAUGUACUGCAGUGUUCACCAAAACUUUGUACAAAACCUCACACAGGGUUUGUCAAAGAAAGUUGAAGAAAGGAUCUGAAUCACAUAAUACUUCUAGACUAGAAAACUAGACAAUAGAACAGUACUGAUAUGUCCUAAUCUAAACCCUUCCUAUGCACCUAAAAACAUGUUAAAUAUAGUUAACAGGAACCUAAUUGACCGUGGUUUAUUACAGAAAUAAAGCAACUAACAGCACAAUAAAAAAAUCCAAGCAUGAUAUGACAUUAAACAGUGGUAUAAAAGAACACAACUUACAACUGCAUAUAACAAUAAUAAAUACGAUUAACAAUUUAACUCUUAAGAAGAAAAAGACCAGCAGGUGUUUUACAGAGUAGCAUAAAACACCAAACCCAAGGGUUAGAAACUCAGUUUGGAUGUAACACAAAUGAAGGAUCUCUUAUCACAGAACUUAAGGGCCAAAACUUAUCACAGAAUUUAAGGGCCAAAAAUAAUGUUUCUUCUUAAUAUAAUGAUACCCAGCUCUCCUGCGUGUUCGAGAGAAGGACCAAAAAUAAUGAUAUGAGACAGCAAACAACUUAGCAAUACAGUUCAAACUGGAAAGGAAAAUAGGUAAGUUAGUAAUAAAUAAUUAGGAAAAAAAUCAGCGCACAACUCCAGUUAGAUAUCUACAGAUAUGCCUAGCUUGAAAUCAGCUAAAUUGAUGAAACAUCUAAUAAAAAUGAAGCAAUCAUCCAUUUGAACAAAACGAGACAACUCAGGUUUGUUAGUUCACAUGAUCACCGAGGCAACCUAAAAUAAAGGUUUUUCAGUAACUUGCAAGUAGCUUUGAUGGAGAGUGAACACCGCUAACAAAGAGUUUAGACUAGCAAACUACUUGCUUUUACAGAGAUGUCUAAAACUAAGCAUGGAACUUAACUAAUCCCUACUUGCCCCAUACGUUAGCACCAUUGCUACUGAAUAGAGUUAUAGUCUAGUAUCUAAUUGAUCUUCUAGACAUGCACAAAGCAAUACAAGCACGGAACUACACUAACAUAAUUGUCACAUAUACCAGCAUAAGCAAAUCAUUCAGAGAAUCCUCCAAAAUAGUAAUAAAGGGAACAAGAAAGAGCAAGAUGAUUAGGAAAAUUUACUAAAUCAAACUGGUUUUGCAAACUAGAACAUGAAUAAAUAUAAACCUUUUUCAGCUGGGACUCAUAACAACCAAAAAAACUAUGAGCAGACUUUCCUAGAGUCCUCUAAUCAAGGAAAGAUUCAAGUUCUGACUAGCUUCAGACCAAGAGAAACAAAAGGAAAUAGAAGCUAAAAGAUUUUGCGACUAAAUCAAAACAAAACGAUGGAUCAAUCUGAAAAGAAUUGUUCAUACUAUUAGGUUAUCGCCAACAGAACAGGAAAAUAACUAAAAAACCAUAUACAAUUAACAGACCUAAAUGCUUACAAAGAUUAAACCCAAAAUAGAUUGAAAUACAUUAAAAUAGUGCACAUAACAGUUUACUUGUUCAUUAUUAUGGUGGACAUCAAUUAAAAUAAACCCAUGCAGCCAAGAAAUAACUAAUACGGCCACAAUAUGCGUAGAUAGACAAGCACAAGCAAACUAGUGAAGAAGAUGCAAUAAAAUAGAGUGCUUUAUUGCAACGAGAAGAUGUAUGUUUACUUAAAAACUAAGCAGUUAUUUCUACAAUACUAAAAGAGAUACGAUUUCUUAACUGUGCACAGCUAGAGGUAUGAUUCAUUACAAUGCAUACUGUACACAUCUUGAGGUAUGAUUCAUUACAGCACAUAUUGCAUCAGAAUUGUUAAAAGUUGGUUACAAUAACUCCAUAAACAGACCUCAAUAAGGACCUAAAUAUGAAUGGAAAUUAAUGUUUUUUUUCAACUACAGUGUAUUUCAAAUCUGGAUUUUACACUAUCUCCACUGUUUGCUCAUUAUAGUGCUAGGCAAGGCGACGUUGCUCCGCCUAGCACCACCUUUUGAAACAGAGUUCAGGUUAGAAUUCUAUUGCUCCAAGAAUUAUGCAAAACAACCAGAUGUUAAUAAUACAUAGUGGUUACAACAAAUCCUUCUAUACUGAAAUUACACAAAUACAACUCCCGACAUAGAGAAGAUGCUUGGUCAACAGUACACACACAAACAUAAGUUACAACAGAAGGAAGCUGGCACUGAAACCGGCACAUGGUCCAGUAAAUGAAGGAACAUAAGAUGAUAAGAAGCUGAAAUCUAGUAGAGUCCGCAAAUCCAAGAUUCAUUCAAAACCAUGUGACGGAAGUAUCACCAGAGGACUAGGAGAUUCAGACCAAAGCACUACACCAUAAUCUGACAGAAGACCUUAAGGUACCACCAGAUAAACACGCAUCAGUAGCACAUCAGUAAGAAAACCACAACUUAGAGCAUACAUCCAUGGCCCUCAAAGCAAGAAUAGUACUUAGAAGAAUCUUCAAGCAGAUGGCUUCACAUGUAGCUAGCACUAAACUACACUGCACAGAUAUAGCAAUUAUAAAACCCACAUUCUGAAUUUCCUUGAAAUGAACCUUUCAAUUGAGCUGACUAUUUGAUAAUGAUAGAACAACAAGCCACCUUCAUGAGUGUGUCAAGAGUACUGAAUCAAAAUCCUGUUAUAGUACUGAAUCAAAAUUCUGUUCUAACAGCCAAAUAAAGCAUCGCUAUGUCAACCAUGAAUCCAUGAUUCAUACAGUGCGUGGAUCUGCAUACACCUCACAACCAGCACCAAAUAAUCCGACCAAUACUGCUUGCCGAAAUAAACAGCAAAUUGACACCAUAUACUUGUAAAUUCCAAACACACCUAAGCAAUCAUAUCUUAUCAUAACUAAACCUUCUGAUGAGACUGACUACCAUGAGAGGAACAUGCCAAAUGCAAAAACCGCAGAAUUCUGAGCACUCCACUUGCCUCCAUAUUCCAAUAACAAGUAUCAGGUACAGUUUCCAUCACAAAAAUUAUCCUGAACAGACCAAUCAUCAUGCAAACCAGAGACAGAUCGAGACCAAACCCUUCAGAUUAUCCUGUUUCGGCCAAGCCAAAUUUUCCGUGCUACCCAAUUAAAACCGAUCUGACCUUGAACAGAAAUCGAAACAAAAGAGCUGCAGAACCUUAGAUAUCAACAAAUAGUAAUUAGUCACAAAUCAACACAAAACUAUUUCCCCAAACAGACGGAUCCUGGGGGAAGCAGGGGAAUCAUCCAACCUAGACCUGGAAUCGAACGGAUCGAGCACCGCAAAGUACAAGCAACCCAAUCUAUCCGGCUAGCCCGCGCACCUGAUCAACCAAUCGACAAAACAAACAUGAGAUCGAAAACAACUGCGGCUGGCUCACCUACGACUUACCCAUCACCAGUUCACCACGACACGAUGGAGCAAGCGACUAGGGGAAGCCCCCUCUAUACCACGCCUACCGAUUCUAUUCCACGGUGAGGAAGAGACCCGGGGGUCGGGUGGCUUUAUAGGGCGCACAGGUCGGUAGUUGAUCGUCGGUUCCCCGACGGAGUCGGUUCCG